GACAACACAAGUUUAAAAGAUAUAGAGAUUGACACUUCAUGAUCAUUUAAAACAAACUUGAUAAUCUGCCAUCAAAUUAAGGGUAACUCUCAAAAUUUCAAAGAAGAGUCAAACUGACAGAUCUAGCAGGUUUUAUCAUUGUCAGAAUAGCAUAAAUGAAAUAUAUGAAAACAUGAUAGAAAAUCUUGAAGCGAAUGGAUAACCAAUAAGCCAGCCACCCCAAUUCACGCACCUAUGAGGACUGUGAUAGCACGCUCGCCCACGCCCCGGUUGCAAGCGAAUGCGCCGCCGCAGGCAGCGAGUUUCGCACGACCAUUGGCGCGGGCGUCUUCCCCGCCACCCGAGCUAAAAAGUCCAGAGGGUGAGGCAGCUAACCCAUGAAGCACAUACACCUUAAAACUUGAACCACGAGGCAUGUAUGAUGGAAAGUAACCAAUUCAAAAUCCAUCCAGCUCGCUCUAGAACUGCAUACAACGAUGGACAUGUUAACAUCAAAAUUUAAAAAUAUGAAACGACCAACAACGGCACUAGCCAGAACACCAACAAUGCACAUGAGCUGAAGAGGAAGUUGGGUAGCAGGGUCAAGAACUCGCAGCAAAUCAGAAAAAAUGUAACAGCAAUCUCAAUUGUUGGCGCCGCCUCCUCGCAGCGCCUCUCUUCUUCCUCCACUCUCAACUCUCUUGUGGUUUCUUUCAAGAACACACACAAACGCACAAUGGUGGAACUCAGGGACACACACACGCAUGUACCAAAGAAGAACACAAACAGGCUUUGCCAUAGGCUCUCUUCCUUGGCUAUCACAAUGGCUACAUUUUUGCUUGUGCCAACACGGCUGCCUUUUCUCAUUCAUCUGAUCACCUUAUAAAUAACCAGUACAAGCAACUCACGCACGCACUAACCCGGCCACUAUGCCCGUCCACUAACAGCACGCAGCCACGCACACAUUGGCCAGCCGCCACACUCGGCGCUGCUAACCCCACUAACUAAUUCCUACAUGCAUGCACGUCGAGCCAUCCACUCAACUGCAACGACCCGGCCCAGCAUGCAUCUGACAUGGCUGCAAUGCUUAUGCUUCACGACGUAUAACAUUAUUGUUAGUCCUGUUUUGCCAUAUACAAGAUAGUCUGUCUUGCUCGCUUCACUGUUGUAACUAUAUUUUUGCCCUAGUCAUGUGUACUUACAGAAACAUUUCAGGAUGAAGUGACAUCAACACAAAGAUCUCAGAGUAGUGCGGCAUGGCCGUUACCAAAUGAUUAUCGAUUGGAAUUGGAAUGUGCUAAUAUUCUCGAGCAUCAACUCACUAGUAGAAAAAGGACCUAAUAUGUGAAACAUUAGUACCGGUUCGCAUAUGAGCCGACACUAAUGCUUCCAUUAGUGCCGGUUCAAAUGACUUGGCGGGAGGUGACCUUUAGUACCGGUUCUUUGGGAAUCUUUAGUACCGGUUCAUGCCACGAACCGGUACUAAAGAUGCUGGUGCCCGGCCAACACCUUUAGUACCGGUUCGUGGCACGAACCGGUACUAAAUAGGUUGUGGCAGGCGCUAUUUUUAGUCCCACCUCGCUCCCCUAACAAGAAUUUGACCACCUUAAGUAUGUUACUUCUCAAACCAUCCCAAGCAUUUGGUCUUCAUUAAACUCUAUGUGUAGGAUCUGUGGCUGCAAUAGGAGUCUUCGCCGGUUCUUAAAUCGGUGGUAGAUUCCUAUUGACGAUUUAGAUUCUAUACAAAAAGAUCAUUGAUGAUCAAUGUAUUUUUUAUAUGUACUUCUCUGUAGCAGUAGCGCGCGUUUUGGCCGAAAGGCGGUACUGAUCAAUGUAUUUUUUCUAUGUUCAGAUGCACAAUUUAAAUAUGUUAUUUUUCGAACUAUCACAAGCAUUUGGUCUUCAUUGAACUCUAUAUAUAAAAGGAGGAAGAAGAAGCAGAAGAAGAGGAAGAACAGGAGGAAGAAGAAGAAGAGGAGGAGGAGAAGAAGAAGAAGAAGAAGAGGAGGAAGAAGAAGAGGAAGAAGAGGAAGAAAAGGAGGAGGAGGAAGAAGAAGAGGAUGAAGAAGAGGAGGAAGAAAGAAGAAGAGGAANNNNNNNNNNNNNNNNNNNNNNNNNNNNNNNNNNNNNNNNNNNNNNNNNNNNNNNNNNNNNNNNNNNNNNNNNNNNNNNNNNNNNNNNNNNNNNNNNNNNCCCCCCCCCUUGGGCCCCCCUGCGCCUAGGGUUGGGAACCCUAGGGGAGGGGGCGCCUCCACUUGCCUUGGGGGGCAAGGCACCCCCCUUGGCCAACCCCCCGAGGAGAUCCCAUCUCCUAGGGCCGACGCACCCCCUGGGGACGCACCCUUGCACUUGGCGCCUCCCUUCCCCUUUCUACACCUCUCCCUCCCGCAGACGCUUGGUGAAGCCCUGUCGGGAUCCCUGCUGCAUCCACCACCACGCCGUCGUGCUGCUGGAUCUUCAUCAACCUCUCCUUCCCCCUUGCUGGAUCAAGAAGGAGGAUAUGUCUCCCUGACUGUACAUGUGUUGAACGCGGAGGUGUCGUCCGUUCGGCGCUAGGAUCUCCGGUGAUUUGGAUCACGACGAGUACGACUCCCUCAACCCCGUUCUCUUGAAUGCUUCCGCUCGAUCUACAAGGGUAUGUAGAUGCACUCCUCUCUCUUGUUGCUAGAUGAACUCAUAGAUUGAUCUUGGUGAAACCGUAGGAAAUUUUUUAUUUUCUGCAACGUUCCCCAACAGUGGCAUCAUGAGCUAGGUCUAUGCGUAGUUCUCUUUGCACGAGUAGAACACAAAUCUGUUGUGGGCUUAGAUGUUGUCAACUUUCUUGCCACUACUAGUAUUAUUUUGCUUCAGCGGUAUUGUGGGAUGAAGCGGCCCGGACCGACCUUACACAUAUGCUUACGUGAGACAGGUUCCACCGACUGACAUGCACUAGUUGCAUAAGGUGGCUAGCGGGUGUCUGUCUCUCCCACUUUAGUUGGAGCGGAUUCAAUGAAAAGAGUCCUUAUGAUGGGUAAAUAGAAGUUGACAAAUCACGUUGUGGCUUUUUCGUAGGUAAGAAAACGUUCUUGCUAGAACCCUAUUGCAGCCACGUAAAAGAUGCAACAACAAUUAGAGGACGUCUAACUUGUGUUUGCAGCAAUUGCUUUGUGAUGUGAUAUGGCCAAAAGUUGUGAUGAAUGAUGAAUGAUAUAUUGUGAUGUAUGAGAUCAUGUUCUUGUAAUAGGAAUCACGACUUGCAUGUCAAUGAGUAUGACAACCGGCAGGAGCCAUAGGAGUUGUCUUAAUUAUUGUAUGACAUGCGUGUCAAUGAUGUAACGCCAUGUAAUUACUUUACUUUAUUGCUAAACUGUUAGCUAUAGUAGUAGAAGUAAUAGUUGGCGAGCAACUUCAUGGAGACACAAUGAUGGAGAUCAUGAUAAUGGAGAUCAUGGUGUCAUGCCGGUGACGAAGAUGAUCAUGGAGCCCGGAAGAGGAGAUCAAAGGAGCUAUAUGAUAUUGGCCAUAUCAUGUCACUACUAUUUGAUUGCAUGUGAUGUUUAUCAUGUUUUUGCAUCUUGUUUACUUAGAACGACGGUAGUAAAUAAGAUGAUCCCUCAUAAUAAUUUCAAGAAAGUGUUCCCCCUAACUGUGCACCAUUGUGACAGUUUGUUGUUUCGAAGCACCACGUGAUGAUCGGGUGUGAUAGAUUCUAACAUUCAUAUACAACGGGUGUAAGACAGAUUUACACAUGCAAAACACUUGGGUUAACUUGACGAGCCUAGCAUGUACAGACAUGGCCUCGGAGCACAAGAGACCGAAAGGUCGAACAUGAGUCGUAUGAAAGAUACCAUCAACAUGGAGAUGUUCGCGGAUGAUGACUAGUCCGUCUCACGUGAUGAUCGGACACAGCCUAGUCGACUCGGAUCAUGUAACACUUAGAUGACUAGAGGGAUGUCUAAUUUGAGUGGGAGUUCAUUAAAUAAUUUGAUUAGAUGAACUUAAUAAUCAUGAACUUAGUUUAAAAUCUUUGCAAAAAUGUCUUGUAGAUCAAAUGGCUAAUGCUCAUGUCAACAUGAACUUCAACGCGUUCCUAGAGAAAACCAAGCUGAAAGAUGAUGGCAGCAACUGUACGGACUAGGUCCGGAACCUGAGGAACAUCCUCAUAGCUGCCAAGAAAGCAUAUGUCCUAGAAGGACCUCUAGGUGAAGCACCCAUCCCAGAGAACCAAGACGUUAUGAACGCUUGGCAGUCACGUGCUUAUGAUUACUCCCUCGUUCAGUGCGGCAUGCUUUACAGCUUAGAACCGGGCUUCCAAAAGUGUUUUGAGCAACACGGAGCAUAUGAGAUGUUUGAGGAGCUGAAAAUGGUUUUCCAAGCUCAUGCCCGGGUCGAGAGAUAUGAAGUCUCCGACAAGUUCUAUAGUUGUAAGAUGGAGGAAAAUAGUUCUGUCAGUGAGCACAUACUCAUAAUGUGUGGGUUGCACAACCGCCUGUCCCAGCUGGACAUUAACCUCCCGGACGAAGCAGUCAUUGAAAGAAUCCUUCAGUCGCUCCCACCGAGCUACAAGAGCUUUGUGAUGAACUACAAUAUGCAGGGGAUGGUGAAAACUAUUCCUGAAGUAUUUUCAAUGCUGAAGUCAGCAGAGGUAGAAAUCAAAAAGGAACAUCAAGUGUUGAUGGUCAAUAAAACCACCAAGUUCAAGAAAGGCAAUGGUAAGAAGAACUUCAAGAAGGACGGCAAGGAUGUUGCCGCGCCCGGUAAGCCAGUUGCCAGGAAGAAGUCGAAUGGACCCAAGCCUGAGACUGAGUGCUUUUAUUGCAAAGGGAAGGGUCACUGGAAGCAGAACUGCCCCAAAUACUUAGCGAACAAGAAGGCCGGCAACAGUAAAGGUAUAUGUGAUAUACAUGUAAUUGAUGUGUACCUUACCAGUGCUCGUAGUAGCUCCUGGGUAUUCGAUACUGGUGUCGUUGCUCAUAUUUGUAACUCAAAGCAGGAGCUGCGGAAUAAGCAGAGACUGGCAAAGGACGAGGUGACGAUGCGCGUCGGGAAUGGUUCCAAGGUCGAUGCGAUCGCCGUCGGCACGCUACCUCUACAUUUACCCACGGGAUUAGUUUUAAACCUCAAUAAUUGUUAUUUAGUGCCAGCUUUGAGCAUGAACAUUGUAUCUGGAUCACGUUUAAUGCGAGAUGGCUACUCAUUUAAAUCCGAGAAUAAUGGUUGUUCUAUUUAUAUGAGAGAUAUGUUUUAUGGUCAUGCCCCGCUGGUCAAUGGUUUAUUCUUAGUGAAUCUUGAACGUAAUGUUACACAUAUUCAAAAUGUGAAUACCAAAAGAUGUAAGGUUGAUAACGAUAGUCCCACAUACUUGUGGCACUGCCGCCUUGGUCACAUUGGUGUCAAGCGUAUGAAGAAGCUCCAUGCAGAUGGACUUUUAGAGUCUCUCGAUUAUGAAUCAUUUGACACAUGCGAACCAUGCCUCAUGGGCAAAAUGACCAAGACUCCGUUCUCCGGAACAAUGGAGCGAGCAACCAACUUAUUGGAAAUCAUACAUAGUGAUGUGUGCGGUCCAAUGAGCGUUGAGGCUCGCGUAGGAUAUCGUUAUGUUCUCACUCUCACUGAUGACUUAAGUAGAUAUGGGUAUGUCUACUAGAUGAAUAACAAGUCUGAGACCUUUGAAAAGUUCAAGGAAUUUCAGAAUGAGGUAGAGAAUCAACGUGACCGAAAGAUAAAGUUCUUGCGAUCAGAUCGUGGAGGAGAAUAUUUAAGUCACGAAUUUGGUACGCACUUAAGAAAAUGUGGAAUCAUUUCACAACUCACGCCGCCUGGAACACCUCAGCGUAACAGUGUGUCCGAACGUCGUAAUCGCACUCUAUUGGAUAUGGUGCGAUCUAUGAUGUCUCUUACUAACUUACCGCUAUCAUUUUGGGGAUAUGCUCUACAGACAGCUACAUUCACUUUAAAUAGGGCUCUGUCUAAAUCCGUUGAGACGACAUCGUAUGAAUUAUGGUUUGGGAAGAAACCUAAGCUGUCGUUUCUAAAAGUUUGGGGAUGCGAUGCUUAUGUCAAGAAACUUCAACCUGAAAAGCUCAAACCCAAGUCGGAAAAAUGUGUCUUCAUAGGAUACCCUAAGGAAACCAUUGGGUAUAUGUCGGGGAUAUACCCCACGGCGUAACCCGGCCAGAAGUAUAACCCGGCUGGAGCUUGGCGAUUCACUGGCAACCCGCUUGGACCUGGCGAUUUAUGAUUCAUUGGUGAUCCGGCAGGCGGGUCAGAGGAGCGACAAAGACCCGGUGGCCCAACGGGCGGUUUAUAAAGGCCGGCUCAUGUUAUGGUGGGCUGGUUUAAGAGGAAGACAUAAGGAAUAUUCUCCUACAAAGGAAGCAAGACUAGGACUCCACUUGUAAUAGAGUAGUCCUAAUCCAACUAGGAACGGUUCAUGUAAACCGCCCCUUCAACAUAUAUAAGGAGGGGCAGGGCUCCCCAAAGAGGACAAGCAAGAAACAAUCUCUAGGGCUAGAAACAACUAGAGGAGAGCCGGUUCACGGCGACUCCCUCAUGAUGAUAAUGAGAUCUAGCCUAAACAGCAUGUAGGGUUGUUACUGGAUGAUGUUUCCCGGGGCCCGAAGUUGUCUAAACCCUUGUCUUGUGUUGCGUCUCUCAGUUCCGCUCAACCCCUCUCAAGCUACCACAUAGAUGCGUUAGCCUCGCGACUAAGUCCUUACACUAAGGACAUCUGACGUGUUAAUUCCACGACAGUAUACCUUCUACCUUAGAUCCGAAGGCAAGAUCUUUGUUGCCAAGAACGGAUCCUUUCUGGAAAAAGAAUUUCUCUCGAAAGGAGUAAGUGGGAGGAAAGUAGAACUUCAUGAAGUAUUACCUCUUGAACUGGAAAAAUAGUGCAUCUCAGGAAAAUGUUCAUGUGGUGCCUACACCGACUGGAGAGGAAAUUAAUGGUGAUGAUCAAGGUACUUCGGAUCAAAUUGCUACUGAACUUUGUAGGUCCACAAGGACACAUUCCACACCAGAGUGGUAUGGCAACCCUGUCCUAGAAAUCAUGUUGUUAGACAACGGUGAACCUUCGAACUAUGAAGAAGCGAUGGCGGGCCCAGACUCCAACAAAUGGCUUGAAGCCAUGCAAUCCGAGAUAGAAUCCAUGUAUGAAAACAAAGUAUGGACUUUGACAGACUUGCCCGAUGAUCGGCGAGCGAUAGAAAAUAAAUGGAUCUUUAAGAAGAAGACGAACGCGGAUGGUAAUGUUACCAUCUAUAAAGCUCGACUUGUCGCUAAGGGUUAUCGGCAAGUUCAAGGGGUUGACUACGAUGAGACUUUCUCUCCCGUAGCGAAGCUGAAGUCCGUCUGAAUCAUGUUAGCAAUUGUCGCAUACCAUGAUUAUGAGAUAUGGCAAAUGGACGUCAAAACGGCAUUCCUUAACGGCUAUCUUAAGGAAGAACUGUAUAAGAUGCAGCCGGAAGGUUUUGUCGAUCCAAAGAAUGCUAACAAGGUGUGCAAGCUCCAGCGAUCCAUUUAUGGGCUGGUGCAAGCAUCUCGGAGUUGGAACAUUCGCUUUGAUGAGAUGAUCAAAGCGUUUGGGUUUAUGCAGACUUAUGGAGAAGCCUGCGUUUACAAGAAAGUGGGUGGGAGCUCUGUAGCAUUUCUCAUAUUAUAUGUAGAUGACAUACUUUUGAUGGGAAAUGAUAUAGAGCUUUCGGACAGCAUUAAGGCCUACUUGAAUAAGUGUUUUUCAAUGAAGGACCUUGGAGAAGCUGCUUACAUAUUAGGCAUCAAGAUCUAUAGGGAUAGAUCAAGAUGCCUCAUAGGUCUUUCAUAAAGCACAUACCUUGAUAAGAUAUUGAAGAAGUUCAAUAUGGAUCAGUCCAAGAAAGGGUUCUUGCCUGUAUUGCAAGGUGUGAGAUUGAGCUCGGCUCAAUCCCCAACCACGGCAGAAGAUAAAGAAGAGAUGAGUGUCAUCCCCUAUGCCUCAGCCAUAGGAUCUAUUAUGUAUGCCAUGCUGUGUACUAGACCUGCUGUAAACCUUGCCGUAAGUUUGGUAGGAAGGUACCAAAGUAAUCCCGGCAAGGAACACUGGACAGCGUUCAAGAAUAUCCUGAAGCACCUGAAAAGGACAAAGGACAUGUUUCUCGUUUAUGGAGGUGACGAAGAGCUCAUCGUAAAGGGUUACGUCGAUGCUAGCUUCAACACAGAUCUGGAUGACUCUAAGUCACAAGCCGCAUACGUGUAUAUGUUGAAUCGUGGAGCAGUGAGCUGGUGCAGUUGCAAGCAGAGCGUCGUGGCGGGAUCUACAUGUGAAGCGGAGUACAUGGCAGCCUCGGAGGCAGCGCAUGAAGUGAUAUGGAUGAAGGAGUUCAUCACCGACCUAGGAGUCAUACCCAAUGCNNNNNNNNNNNNNNNNNNNNNNNNNNNNNNNNNNNNNNNNNNNNNNNNNNNNNNNNNNNNNNNNNNNNNNNNNNNNNNNNNNNNNNNNNNNNNNNNNNNNGCCCAGAGAUACCUCUCCGUCAUACGGAGUGACAAAUCCCAGUCUCGAUCCGUGUUAACCCAACAGACACUUUCGGAGAUACCCGUAGUAUACCUUUAUAGUCACCUAGUUAUGUUGUGACGUUUGGUACACCCAAAGCACUCCUACGGUGUCCGGGAGUUACACGAUCUCAUGGUCUAAGGAAAAGAUACUUGACAUUGGAAAAGCUCUAGCAAACGAACUCCACGAUCUUGUGCUAUGCUUAGGAUUGGGUCUUGUCCAUCACAUCAUUCUCCUAAUGAUGUGAUCCCGUUAUCAAUGACAUCCAAUGUCCAUAGUCAGGAAACCAUGACUAUCUGUUGAUCAACGAGCUAGUCAACUAGAGCCUUACUAGGGACAUGUUGUGGUCUAUGUAUUCACACGUGUAUUACGAUUUCCUGGAUAAUACAAUUAUAGCAUGAAUAAAAGACAAUUAUCAUGAACAAGGAAAUAUAAUAAUAAUCCUUUUAUUAUUGCCUCUAGGGCAUAUUUCCAACAAGAGGAAGGUAUAUGUCCUUUCUGCUGUGUGCUAGAGCGAUAGGAUUAAAUUCAAGCGGAAAUUCCAUGAUGGUCCAUGAAAGGGAUUUUUCUGGAAUAGCGAAGGUCUUGCAGACCUGGCUAAGUGUAGGUUUUUUUCAAAGACUUCCAAGGAUUACAGGCUUGAUUUUAUUGCGUUGCUUGAGAUAGGACGUGAUAAUUUCACCUCACAGUUUCUUGGAACUAUUUCUGGUGGCCUGGUCUUUGAUUGACAUUGUUUGCCACCUAGGAGAAGGUUUGGUGGGAUCUUACUCAGAUUUAACUGUGAGUCUCUUGAGGUGGUAAACGUGUUUUUGGGUGAGUUCGCCGUCAAAUUCAUGUGUGAUCAAAAGUUGAUGGUUUCAGGUGGGUCACUGGUUGUUGUGUACGGGGCAGCACAACCAGAGUUCAAACCUGAUUUCCUUGCAGACCUGGUCAAUAUUUGUCAGGGGGGGGAGCUUACCCAUUUUAGUCGGUGGGGAUUUUAACAUCAUUAGGAGGCGAUAAGAAAAGAAUAAUGACAACUUUGACGGUCGAUGGUCGUUCAUGUUUAAUCUUAUCAUUGAAAGCCUAGAUCGAAGAGAGAUAGACCUCACAAAAAAUUCCACUGAUAAUGGUGCGAGCGUUACAAAGAGGAAUUUCUGAUCACACAUCCCUUCUUUUUGAUUCCGGUGAUGCGGUGCACAUUUGAAACAAAAUCAUUUUCUCUUUUCGAAACUGCAUGGUUCGAGAGAGAGGAUUUCCUUGACUUGAUAGCAAGGGAAUGGGCCUCGCAGCAAAGGGGUGAGUCGAGUGUCAAAAGAUGUGGCAAUUUACGAUUAGAUACUUGCGACCGUUUUUGAGGGGCUGGUGCUACCUCUUGAGCUUGCGUUGGUUUUCCCUUGAAGAGGAAAGGGUGAUGCGGCAAAGUAGCAUAAGUAUUUCCCUCAGUUUUGAGAACCAAGGUAUCAAUCCAGUAGGAGACAACACACAAGACACCGAAUACCUCCACAAACAAUCAACAACUUGCACCCAACGCGAUAAAGGGGUUGUCAAUCCCUUCACGGUCACUUGCAAAAGUGAGAUCUGAUAGAGAUAGAUAAACGGUAAAGUAAAUAUUUUUGGUAUUUUUGGUUUAUAGAUUGGAAGGUAAAGAUUGAAAAAUAGUAGAUCAGAAACUAGCAAGAUGUAACGAGAUUCAAUAAUAUGUAAAAGAGACCCGGGGGCCACAGGUUUCACUAGUGGCUUCUCUCAAGAUAGCAUAUAUUACAGUGGGUGAACAAUUUACUACCGAGCAAUUGAUAGAAAAGCGCAUAGUUAUGAUGACAUCUAAGGCAAUGAUCAUGAACAUAGGCAUCACGUUCGUGUCAAGUAGACCGACUCCUGCCUGCAUCUACUACUAUUACUCCACACAUCGACGGCUAUCCAGCAUGCAUCUAGAGUAUUAAGUUCAUAAUAACAGAGUAACGCAUUAGGAAAGAUGACAUGAUGUAGAGGGAGAAACUCAAGCAAUGUGAUAUAAACCCCAUCUUCUUAUCCUCGAUGGCAACAAUACAAUACGUGCCUAGCUGCCCCUGCUGUCACUGGGAAAGGACGCCGCAAGAUUGAACCCAAAGCUAAGCACUUCUCCCAUUGCAAGAAAGAUCAAUGUAGUAGGCCAAACUAAACCGAUAAUUCGAAGAGACUUGCAAAGAUAUCAAAUCAUGCAUAUAAGAAUUCAGAGAAGAACCAAAUAAUAUUCAUAGAUAAUCUUGAUCAUAAAUCCACAAUUCAUCGGAUCUCGACAAACACACCGCAAAAAGGUAUUACAUCGAAUAGAUCUCCAAGAACAUCGAGGAGAACAUGGUAUUGAGAAUCAAAGAGAGAGAAUAAGCCAUCUAGCUAAUAACUAUCGCGCCCUCCUGCCACAACCCCGAUGACAAGCCAAACAAUUGUUUCAUACUUUUGAUGUUCUCAAACUUUUUCAAUCUUCACGCAAUACAUGAGCGUGAGCCAUGGAUAUAGCACUAUAGGUGGAAUAGAAUAGUGGUUGUGGAGAAGACACAAAGGAGAAGAUUGUCUCACAUCAACUAGGCAUAUCAACGGGCUAUGGAGAUGCCCAUCAAUAGAUAUCAAUGUGAGUGAGUAGGGAUUGCCAUGCAAUGGAUGCACUAGAGCCAUGUGUAUGAAAGCUCAACAAGAAACUAAGUGGGUGUGCAUCCAACUUGCUUGCUCACGAAGACCUAGGGCAUUUUGAGGAAGCCCAUCAUUGGCAUAUACAAGCCAAGUUCUAUAAUGAAAAUUCCCACUAGUAUAUGAAAGUGACAACAUAGGAGACUCUCUAUCAUGAAGAUCAUGGUGCUACUUAGCACAAGUGUGGAAAAAGGAUAGUAACAUUGCCCCUUCUCUCUUUUUCUCUCAUUUUUUUAUUUGGGCCUUCUCUGUUUUUUCCUAUGGCCUCUUUUUUUUCGUCCGGAGUCUCAUCCCGACUUGUGGGGGAAUCAUAGUCUCCAUCAUCCUUUCCUCACAUGGGACAAUGCUCUAAUAAUUAAGAUCAUCACACUUUUAUUUACUUACAACUCAAUAAUUACAACUCAAUGCUUAGAACAAAAUAUGACUCUAUGUGAAUGCCUCCGGUGGAGUACCGGGAUGUGCAAUGAAUCAAGAGUGACAUGUAUGAAAAAGUUAUGAACGGUGGCUUUGCCACAAAUACAAUGUCAACUACAUGAUCAUGCAAAGCAAUAUGACAAUGAUGGAGCGUGUCAUAAUAAACGAAACGGCGGAAAGUUGCAUGGCAAUAUAUCUCGGAAUGGCUACGGAAAUGCGAUAAUAGGUAGGUAUGGUGGCUGUUUUGAGGAAGGUAUAUGGUGGGUGUAUGGUAUCGGCGAAAAUUGCGCGACACAAGAGAGGCUAGCAAUGGUGGAAGGGUGAGAGCGUGUAUAAUCCACGGACUCAACAUUAGUCAUAAAGAACUCACAUACUUAUUGCAAAAAUUUAUUAGUUAUCAAAACAAAGUACUAUGCACAUGCUCCUAGGGGGAUAGAUUGGUAGGAAAAGACCAUCGCUCGUCCCCGACCGCCACUCAUUAUGAAGACAAUCAAUAAAUAAAUCAUGCUCUAACUUCAUCACAUAACGGUUCACCAUACAUGCAUGCUACGGGAAUCACAAAGUUUAACACAAGUAUCUCUCAAAUUCACAACUACUCUACUAGCAUGACUCUAAUAUCACCACAUUCAUAUCUCACAAUCAUAAAGAAUCAAACUUCUCAUAGUAUCAAAUGCACUUCAUAUGAAAGUUUUUAUUAUACCCAUCUUGGAUGCCCAUCAUAGGACUAAUUUUACAACCAAAGCAAAUUACCAUGCUGUUCUAAAAGACUCUCAAAAUAAUAUAAGAUAAGCAUGAGAGUUCAAAAAUUUCUAUAAAAUAAAACCACCUCCGUGCUCUAAAAAGAUAUAAGUGAAUCACUAGAGCAAUAUUGUCUAGCUCAAAAGAUAUAAGUGAAGCACAUAGAGUAUUCUAAUGAAUCACGAUUCAUGCGUGUAUCUCCCAAAAGGUGUGUACAGAAAGUAUUAUUGUGGUAAACUAAAAAGCAAAGACUCAAAUCAUACAAGACGCUCCAAGAAAAACUCAUAUCAUGUGGUGAAUAAAAAUAUAGCCUCAAGUAAAGUUACUGAUAGAUGAAGACGAAAGAGGGGAUGCCUUCCGGGGCAUCCCCAAGCUUAGGCUUUUGGUUGUCCUUGAAUGUUACCUUGGGGUGCCUUGGGCAUCCCCAAGAUUAGGUUCUUGACACUCCUUAUUCCAAAGUCCAUCAAAUCCUUACUCAAAACUUGAAAACUUCACAACACAAAACUCAAUAGAAAAUCUCCUGAGCUCCGUUAGUAUAAGAAAAUAAAUCACCACUUUAAGAUACUGUUGUAAAAUAAUUAUUUAUUUAAAUUGGUGUAAAAUCUACUGUAUUACAACUUCUCUAUGGUUCCUAACCCCCGAUACUACUCAUAGAUUCAUCAAAAUAAGCAAACAACACGCGGAAAACAGAAUCUGUCAAAAACAGAAUAGUCUGUAGUAAUCUGUAACUCUCGAAUAUUUAUGUAACUCCAAAAAUUCCAAAUAAAUUGGUGGACGUCAUUAAUUUAUCUAUUAAUCUUAUGCAAAAGAAUAAACUUAAAAUGACUCUUCUGUUAAAAAUGACAACGAAUCUCGUGAGCUCAAAAGUUUCUGUUUUUUACAGCAAGAUCACAUUAACUUUCACCCAAGUCUUCUCAAAGGUUCUACUUGGCACAAACACUAAUUAAAACAUAAAAGCACAUCUAUCCAGAGGCUAGAUAGAUUAAUUAUUACUAAAUAGGAGCAAAAAGUAAAGAACAAAAAUAAAAUUGGGUUGCCUCCCAACAAGCGCUAUCGUUUAACGCCCCUAGCUAGGCAUAAAAACGCGAAUAGAUCUAGGUAUUGCCAUCUUUGGUAUGCAAUCCAUAAGUGACUCUCAUAAUAGAUUCAUAAGGCAAUUUAAUUUUCUUCCUAGGAAAGUGUUCCAUUCCUUUCCUUAACAAAAAUUGGAAUCUAACAUUUCCUUCUUUCAUAUCAACAAUUGCACCAAUCGUUCUAAGAAAAGGUCUACCAAGAAUAAUAUGACAUGUAGGAUUGCAAUCUAUAUCAAGAAUAAUGAGAUCUACAUGCACAUAAUUCCUAUUUGCAAAAACAAGAACAUCAUUAAUCAUUCCCAUAGGUUUCUUAAUGGUGGAAUCCGCAAGAUGCAAAUUUAAAGAGCAAUCAUCAAAUUCACGGAAACCUAGCACAUCACACAAAGUUUUUGGAAUCAUGGAAACUCUAGCACCCAAAUCACACAAAGCACAUCAUUCAUAAUCUUUAAUCUUAAUAUUAAUAGUAGGUUCCCACUCAGCAUAAAGUUUUCUAUGGAUAGAAACUUCUAGUUCAAGCUUUUCUUCAAAAGAUUGCAUCAUAGCAUCAAUGAUAUGUUUAGUAAAAGCUUUGUUUUGAUUAUAAGCAUGAGGGGAAUUUAACAAGGAUUGCAACAAGGAAAUACAAUCUAUUAAAGAACAACUAUCAUAAUUAGAUUCCUUGAAAUCCAAAAUAGUGGGUUCAUUGCUACUUAAAAUUUUGACCUCUUCAAUCCCACUUUAAUCAAUUUUUGCAUCUAGAUCUAAAAACUCUGAAUCAUUGGGACGCCUUUUAACUAAAGUUGACUCAUNNNNNNNNNNNNNNNNNNNNNNNNNNNNNNNNNNNNNNNNNNNNNNNNNNNNNNNNNNNNNNNNNNNNNNNNNNNNNNNNNNNNNNNNNNNNNNNNNNNNUUGCACAAUGGACGUGGGCAUGUUGAUUCAUAAAGCAAAAUAUUUCCAAUCAUUUAAAUGACUUAGGAAUUAGGAAUUAUAUGCUCUUUGCAUGAGAUUUCAGCUUCUCAGAAAGUAGAUUUGCAUUAUGAUAAAAUUAUUAUUUUUAUAAUAGAACAUAUUUUACUCAAGACGUACAUUGCACGUGCAUACUUACUAGUACCUAAUAAUAAAGAAAAUUAGAUUUCUAGUCGUCCGUCAUUAGUACUUUUGCAUAAAAGCUCUUAAAGUUUAUACGAAUCAACCCGCAGUCCAAGGUCAACCCGAACAGUUACGAGCGAGAAAAAAACACUCCCAAACGCAUCUCCACCAGCGCGCUGCCACCCCCUGCCGCGAGCCGCCGGCCCCAGCCCCUGUGCCACCGCCUACCCCGCUGGAGACACUCGAGGCCGCGGCCGUUGCCGGCUCCCACACCCGCGGGCCUCCGUUGCAAGCGGAAGCGAGGAGGUGGCGGGGUUCUUGGUGGUCGCCGGCGUGGCGAGGGCUGAAGGGGUCGCUGGCACGGGCGUCGGGCGCGGUCGGAUCAGAGGAACGCGGGCGGCGGCACAACGUAGGAAGGAGGGGCUGGUGCUGGAGCUUGAGGGCGCGGACGCCAUGGCAUGCGUCUAGAUGACAGCAGAGGGCCAGGCGUGGCUUGGCUUGGUGCUGGAGCUUGAUGGCGCGGCCGCCAUGGCAUGUGUCCAGAUGACGGCAGAGGGCUAGGCGUGGCUUGGCUUGGUGCUGGAGCUUGAUGGCGCGGCCGCCAUGGCAUGUGUCCAGAUGACGGUAGAGGGCCAGGCGUGGCUUGGCGUCGCUAAGAGCCACGAGGUCAUCGCUGCCGGCCGCCGUGGGACGCCUGCGUUAUGCUGCUCCAUUGCCGGCACCUGUCCCUGUGCGGCGCGUGCGAACCCGCCGUGAACACCUGCCCCGUGUGCGCGGCCACCAAGAACGCCUCGCUCCAUGUCCUCCUUUCUUGACCAUCCAACUCCGAGCCCCGGCUGGGAUCAAUAGGCAACAAUGGGCAAAGAAAUUAAAACUGAGAAAGAAGAUGAUCUUAAGGUGAAAUAAAAAGGAGGAAGAUGGAUGGAUGGAUGAUAAUGAGAAAAAAUACAUGCCACUGGUGAGCAAUAUAGGACCAUGUUACCCAACCCAGGAUGCACGGCGGGGCAAAGCGGUGGCUCGCGGGAGGGGUGUGCAGCGGCUUGGGCGUGCAGGCACGGGAUGGCGGGCGAACUCCACNNNNNNNNNNNNNNNNNNNNNNNNNNNNNNNNNNNNNNNNNNNNNNNNNNNNNNNNNNNNNNNNNNNNNNNNNNNNGCUCUUCGUAGAGACUGGCGCGGCGGUUGGGGCCUACUUGAGGCGGCCAUGGCCCGUUCCUGUGGGGGGAGUACAGAGAGAGGGGGGGGGGUGAAACGGAAAGAAUAAAAGCGAAAUGAAAGAGCGCGCGAGGUGGGGCCGUGGUUCUCCGGCGAGGUUGGUGCCGGCGUCGGGCAUGGAUGCAGAAUGAACGCCGUGGUGCGCGCAGCCGACAGAGGCGGCGCGUCCCGAGGAGGAGCUCGUCGGGGUUGGGGGAUGGAUGUUUCUUUAUAUUAUUGGGUUGUCGAUAGCGUGUGGAACCACAACGCUGGAGCGCCAGCGAGGCAUCUGGUUUCUUCUCGCUAUCAACCCACGUGUUAGCGCUGGCGUGCACGCAUGUUGAGCGGACAGAUGAAUAUCUCUGAGUUCAUUAUACGCAGAUACACACAAGGUACUAGGUACAUUUUUUUUUAUUUUGUGCUAAAGAGGUAUAGUAGAUUUUAUUUCUUGGAUACAGAAUCCAUAUACGUACGUGGAUUUCAAGUUCUAUACGUGCAUCCUACAGAAUUAGUGGUUCGUAUUUUUUCGUGAAAUCUGCUUAUAUAAUUUUACAAAGUGUCUGCAUACUUUAAAAAAUGGUUCUGUAAUUUAAAAUGUGUUUGUGCUUUUUGAAAAAAAAACAAGAUUUCUCAAAAAGUGCCUUUGCGUUUUAAAAUGUUUGUAUUAGUUUUUAAAAAAGAGUUUAUGUAUUGAAAUAUUUUUCACAUUUUCUUAAAAAAAUCACCCUUUUUUAAAAACGUUCAUGUAAUUCAAGAAGUGUUUGCAUGUUAAAAAGUUUGUAAUUUUAGAAAUGUUAUGUGAUUUAAGUAAGUGUUCGUGUGUUUUUAAAAGAAAAUGUUAAUGCAUUCAGGGAAAAAUACAAUUAAAAGCAAGUUGAAUUAUGAGGGACGAUGCAUGAAGUAGGUGCAGAGUGUAGCUCGUGUAGGGCGGCCCUUAGGUCCAGCUCGACUAGAUGAGUUUUAUAAAAGUUAUAAAUACCCUUUUGCGUUGGUGUCGGUGAUAAGUUUGUUGCGGUGGUGGCCGAGAUCAAAGGGGAUUUUUUCUCCUUACCCACAUGUGGGCCUUAAAUUCCUGAUUGACUUUUCUUUACGAACUGCUAAUUGGAGCAGUCGAAUAACCCGGGUUAAUUUGUUUUUCAAUCAAUCCUGUGUAAGGUUAAUGCGUAGUGCCUUUUCACGUGUUUUCUCUUAACAUCGAAUGUGAUAUGCAUAUUGUACUCGGUGAGAAAAUUUUCAAUAACUAACACCAAUAUACUAAUCUAGAUACCGUCAACAAUCCAGACAUUAUCCUUCAUCCAAUUGUUUUGUUGGCCAUACACCAAUAUUUAUGACAUAUGUGGACGUGAAUCAGAUGUUGCCAACUCUGGCAUCACCCUUGAUGAGGUCAUCAGAAUAACAUUCCAAAGGAAAAGUUUAGUGUCAUUUUAUUGUAUCAUUUUGUUAGCAUAAUCCUUACAAGUUUAGAGCAGCGAGCCUCCGAAGCUUCGUCUUUCAUCUUUUUUUCUCACCCAUCGUUUCAUACCAAUCAUAUUUCACCGUUAUAUUUUUUCUACACUCCCGUUACAACGCACGGGCAUUUGUGCUAGUAAUAAUAAAGCACAGAGUGUUUCUAGUCGUCCGUCACCCCUUUUUGCAAAAAAAUCUGUCAGUUUGUUGAAAUCAACCCACAAUCCAUCUUUAAAUCACACCGAACUGUUUUUUUAUUUUCUUAGAAAACCCCCUGACGUUUCAGGUAAUCAACCCGCCGUCCAUAUAGUGUUUUAACAAAAAAAAACUGAGCUUUCGGUUAAUCAAUCUGCAUUUUAUUCUAAAACAAAAUUAUCUAUAUCUUCUAAACCGUACGUAACUCCGUUGUUAACAUGUUAUAUAUGAAAUUUGAUUAGAAAAAAUUGUAGAAUCUAAAUAUGAUGCUACUUUAAACUGUUAAAUAUUUCUAAACUAUUAAUUUGAAUGCAAACUUAAUCUAUAGUGCACAGUCCGUUUUUCUUUCGCACUGACGGUGAUCCAAAUUGCAAAUAAACACACAUUAAAAACCAGAUUGAAAGGAAAGAAAACAUUGAUAACCACACAUGCGCAGCUCUGGAUAAACUCGCAGGAAAAAACAACAUAUUUUCUCAUAUUAUUCUGAGGGAUUGUGUGCGUGCGAGCGCGCACGCACGCGUGCGCUUGUGUGUGUGUGAGAGAGAGAGAGAGAGAGAGAGACGCCUUAGGACCGACCCUAUUCAAAUUAGGGGUGGGCACUUUUGAACCGAAAACCGAAAAACUGAACCGAACCGAACCAUAUUAACCGAUUUAUCUAUUAAUUCGGUGAUUCGAUUUUUUGUUCGGUGGGAAAUUUUAAGGUUGUUCGGUGUUUGGUUUUUGUUCGGUUUCCAGUGUCCAAAAACCGAAUACACCGAAAAAACCGAUAUGUACGAUACCCCAUGCAAUACCUUGUUUUCGAAAGUGCAGCGGGGGCGCGUCCUCUGGCAAAUACUUGUUGGUUGUGGCAGACGUCAGGCCAGCCGCUAGAUGAGUUUCAAAUCUCACAAUCUAACUAGUACUCGUAGGAGUAUGUAUGCAUGCCCGGCGCUUGGUUAUGGAAGUAACUAGCAAUUAGUGUAUCAAUUAGUGCAUGAGUUGCUUAGUUUACACGCAUCACACAUAUUCUUCGGUACAUAAUACAUGUAACGCCCCAUGUGAUUUUACACUUAGUUAUGUUCACUAGUUUGCUUGACCGAAUAAAGCACGGACUGAUGUUAAGGUUGCUAGCUCUUGUGAUAUAUACUGAUGAGUGCAUGUAAAUUUUGGUUUUUCGGUUAACCAAAUAAACCGAACCGAUAUAUUAUGGUUAAUAUGGUUCGGUUUCUAAAUAUUGUGUGAUUAAUUCGGUUUCCAUUUCUACAAAACCGAAAUUAUAAAACACCGAAUAAACCGAACCGUAUUAACCAUAUAAACCGAAUGCCCAGCCCUAAUUCAAAUGCAUUUUCGUUGUGUGAGCAUUGAGACCACCAUUGGGAACACAAAUGUGAUGCCAUGUUAAAAUAAAGAACGUCUACCUAUCAGGGUGUCGAGUCAUGAUUAUUGGGUUAAGAGCGUGUGUUUUUUCUGUCCCGUUGCGACGCACGGGCUCUUUUCUGUCCCCUAUUUUUAGGUAGUAUGUAUCAUUUUUUAAGUAUGCUCUUUUUUACGUACAAAUAUGUACGUAUUUCACAAAUAUAACAAAAACUAUGGGUUCGUAUGCAAUUUUUUCAUGUAACUUAUUUUGAAAUAUCUUAGAUAUAGUAUAUGAACAUAUUUAAAAUAAUAAAAUAGUAUAUAUAGUACCACAUACUAGUAUAUGAGACAUGUGGGGUAACUACCACCGGAUGGUACGAUGGAUUUUCCCAGGACAAAUUUUAUCUACCACCAAUGGUAGUUACCACCUAGCUAGGUGCCCUCCACGUGUCCCCUUUCCUCUCCCUCAAACGUAGCAUCAAGUCUANNNNNNNNNNNNNNNNNNNNNNNNNNNNNNNNNNNNNNNNNNNNNNNNNNNNNNNNNNNNNNNNNNNNNNNNNNNNNNNNNNNNNNNNNNNNNNNNNNNNUAUUGGUUAUUGACCGGAGACGUGUCUCGGUCAUGUCUACAUUGUUCUCGAACCCGUAGGGUCCGCACGCUUAAGGUUACGAUGACAGUUAUAUUAUGAGUUUACAUGUUUUGAUGUACCGAAGGAGUUCGGAGUCACGGAUGAGAUUGGGGACAUGACGAGGAGUCUCGAAAUGGUCGAUACGUAAAGAUUCAUAUAUUGGAUGAUAUGGUUAGGCCAAGGGGUCAAGCCCAUGAGGCUUUAGAUCGGUGCAAAAGGAGUUUUGCGGAGUCCAGGGGGCCAAACGCCGGAGACCCUGGCGUCUGGCCCUGGGCCAGACGCCGAGGCCCAUGGCGUCUGGGCCAGACGCCAAGGAUUGUGGCGUUUGGUCCUGGAGUCCGAGUGGGACUCUUGCCUUUCGGGAAAAACCGACUUUGAGGAGGCUUUUGCUCCAAGUUUCGACCCCGGGGCUCAACAUAUAAAUAGAGGGGCAGGGCUAGCACCAAAGGAACAACAAGUUGAUCCACGUGAUCUAUUCCUUAGCCGUGUGCGGUGCCCCCUUCCACCAUAUACCUCGAUAAUACUGUAGCGGAGUUUAGGCGAAGCUCUGCUGCUGUAGUUCAUCAAGAUCGUCACCACGCCGUCGUGCUGACGGAACUCUUCCCCGACACUUUGCUGGAUCGGAGUCCGGGGAUCGUCAUCGAGCUGAACGUGUGCUCGAACUCGGAGGUGCCGUAGUUUCGGUGCUUGAUCGGUUGGAUCGUGAAGACGUACGACUACUUCCUCUACGUCGUGUCAUCGCUUCCGCAGUCGGUCUGCGUUGGGUACGUAGACAACAAUCUCCCCUCGUUGCUAUACAUCACCAUGAUCUUGCGUGUGCGUAGGAAAAUUUUUGAAAUUACUACGAAACCCAACAACAAAUAGGUGAAGUAGCAAAAGCAGGGUCAGGUUUCAUUCUAGCAUUAAGAGAUUGUUGCUUCCAUUUAGCAAAUAACUUUUUAAGAUCAUAUCUAUCUUUGCAAGCAAAAAUAGCUCUAGCAGCUUCCUCAUUCAUAACAUAACCCUCAGGAACAACAGGUAAUUCAUAAUCAGGGGGAGAACUUUCAUCAUCACUAUCAUCAAUAAUAGCAUCUUCAAUAAUUUCAUUCUCUCUAACCCUAGCAAGUUGUUCAUCAAGAAAUUCACCUAAUGGCACAGUAGUAUCACGCACAAAAGUAGUUUCAUCAUAAGUAUCAUGCAUAGCAGAAGUGGCAUCAUCAAUAGCAUGCGACAUAUCAGAAUUCAUAGAAGUAGCAGGUUUAGGUGUCGCAAACUUACUCAUAACAGAAGGAGAAUCUAGUGCAGAGCUAGAUGGCAGUUCCUUACCUCUCCUCGUAGUUGAGGGAAAAAUCUUGGUUCUUUCGUCUUUCAAGUUCCUCAUAGUGAUCAACAGAUAUAAAUCCCAAGUGACUCAAAGAAUAGAGUUAUGCUUCCUGGCAACGGCGCUAGAAAUUAGACUUAAUAACCCACAAGUGUUGGGGAUCGCAAUAGCUUUCGAGGGUAAAGUAUUCAACCCAAAUUUAUUGAUUCGACACAAGGGGAGCCAAAGAAUAUUAUUGAGUAUUAGCAGUUGAGUUGUCAAUUCAACUACACCUAGAUAACUUAGUAUCUGCAGCAAAGUAUUUAGUAGCAAAGUAGUAUGAUAGUAAUGGUAACAGUGGCAAAAGUAAAGAUAAUAGUUUUGUAGUAAUUAUAACAGUAGCAAUGGAAAAGUAAAUAAACGAAACACAAUAUGUGAAAAGCUCGUAGGCAUUGGAUCAGUGAUGGAUAAUUAUGUCGGAUGCGAUUCCUCAUGUAAUAGAUAUAACAUAGGGUGACACAGAACUAGCUCCAGUUCAUCAAUGUAAUGUAGGCAUGUAUUUCGUAUAUAGUCAUACGUGCUUAUGGGAAACAACUUGCAUGACAUCUUUUGUCCUGCCCUCCCAUGGCAGCAGGGUCCUAGUGGAAACUAAGGGAUAUUAAGGCCUCCUUUUAAUAGAGAACCGGACCAAAGCAUUAACACAUAGUGAAUACAUGAACUCCUCAAACUACGGUCAUCACCGAGAAGUAUCCCAAUUAUUGUCACUUCGGGGUUGUGGGAUCAUAACACAUAAUAGGUGACUAUAGACUUGCAAGAUAGGAUCAAGAACACACAUAUAUAUUCAUGAAAACAUAAUAGGCUCAGAUCUUAAAUCAUGGCACUCGGGCCCUAGUGACAAGCAUUAAGCAUAGCAAAGUCAUAGCAACAUCAAUCUCAGAACAUAGUGGAUACUAGGGAUCAAACCCUAACAAAACUAACUUGAUUACAUGCUAAAUCUCAUCCAACCCAUCACCGUCCAGCAAGCCUACGAUGGAAUUACUCACGCACGGUGGUGAGCAUCAUGAAAUUGGUGAUGGAGGAUGGUUGAUGAUGACGACGGCGAUGAAUCCUCCUCUCCGGAGCCCCGAACGGACUCCAGAUCAGCCCUCCCGAGAGAGAUUAGGGCUUGGCGGCGGCUCCGUAUCGUAAAACGCGAUGGAACUUCCUCUGAUUUUUUUCCCGUGAAACGGAAUAUAUGGAGUUGGAGUUGAGGUCGGUGGAGCGUCAGGGGGCCCACGAGACAGGGGGAGCGCCCAGGGGGGCGCGCCCAGGGGUGUGGGCGUGACCCCCACCCUCGUGGACAGGGUGUGAGCCCCCUGGUCUUGAUUCUUUCGCCAGUAUUUUUUAUAUCCAAAACUUGUCUCCAUGGAUUUUCAAGUCAUUCCGGGAACUUCUGUUUUCUACACAUAAAACAACAUCAUGGCAGAUCUGCUGAAAACAGCGUCAGUCCGGGUUAGUUUCAUUCAAAUCAUGCAAGUUAGAGUCCAAAACAAGAGCAAAAGUGUUUGGAAAAGUAGAUACGUUGGAGACGUAUCAACCAGCGCGAUCAUUGUCGGCUUUAGCCUCCAAGUGCUCCUGAUCAACCAUCUUCUCAUCCUCGUCGUCCAAAUUAAUCAUGUCUGACUAAGCAGGAUGAGUGAUGAUCCCCAAACACCCCUGAUAGGCCUCCUAUUGUGGAUCCUCGUCCAGUGCAAUGAUCUCCAACCCCCCUGAUAGCCCUCCUCUUAUGCAUCCUCCUAUGAGAUGAUCUGCAACCCACUGGUCGCUCUCCUCUUCUUCGUUCUCCUCCUCGUCACUAUCGUCCUCCUCCAUUUCCUUGUCGACGACCUAGAUAAUACGCAAAUUCACCGGCCCUUCCGCCUCUGGAUUCGAUGAGGAGUGGCGGGAGUGGUAUUCGUACCGGCGGGCUCGCUGUCGGUGAGCUGGAGACUCCAUCGCCUCUGCCAUUGCCCACUGGAGAAUAUCAAUUGGGACUGCCCCCUUGCCCUUAGGAAGUAACCGCUUCCGCUCGUCCGUAGUCACUUCCAACGCCAGGGCCAACGAGUGCAUCAUGAGAGACUUCGCGCUCAGAAACCAGGAGCAUGUCUCCUUGCACUUGGCCAGCAAAAACUCAUCCCCGGCGCAAAACAAAUCCAUCGCCCUCUUCCAUCUUGGACCUGCUUGCCAUCAAUCAAACACCAAAUUUGCAAAUCAAAUAUUAAAAAACGAAUUCGAUUAUUCGGAUCAAAAUCACCACAAAACAAUCUAAAAUGGGCUCCAUUCAACAAAACCUAAUUUCUAGGGUUUUCUAUUUCAAAACUAGCUGCCAUUAGUACCGCUCGCAGGAAUCCAAUCCUAAAUAGAUGUCCAUACUGAUUGCAAACUGGAGCAACUCAACGCAUGACAAUUCAAUCGCUCAGUCGCCCAUUCAAUCGACUUAUAAUUGAAUCCUAAUUUCUAGGGUUUCGAUUAGAAACAUACCGUUUGGCCACCGAUCUCGAAUGGUUCCGGCAAUAUGGGAGGAAGGGCUGCCUGGUAGAACCACUGCGCUGCGCAAUCGGAGCUCAGGCAGACAGUCGGAGUGGCCGGCGGGAAUGCUAGGGGGCAAGGCGGCGGCGGUGUGUGGCUGGAUGGAGGAUGGGGCGGCUCACUCGGGCUCAGGCUGAUUUAAGCAAAAGAAAGUGAUUGGUAAGCGAGUCAGGUCCCACUCGCCAUAAACGGUCAUUGCCAUGGCCCACCUAUCAUGUGCAGCCCUACGCGUUAAUAACUGAGCAAGUAAUAGUCAACUGCUUUUACCAGACGGCAAGGCUUCGUUUGGUUCUUUGUGAGCAUGGGGUGAGUGGUGGAGGGCACAAGUUAGAGCGUUGGGAAAAAACGAGAACAACUAAAGAAGGAGGGGCAUAGAAAUAGAAAUCCCAAAAUUCAAAUGGUAUCUCAUACAUCAGACCAGAGGCCACAUGGGUUGGAGCAAUGCACGCUCCACACAAGGAGGCAUCGGAAAAAAGUGCUCAGGAGGAUUCCAGCAACGAUAAAUUCAUGUAGGGUUGUAGGACCGUCAACGAGGGCAACAAUGACUCACUGACAGCUGCCAUAAAUAAAUAAAUCUGCAAUAGUAAAAAUAUAGAAAUGAAGUGUCUUUAUGAGUUUAAAACACAUAUAAAACUAUAUAUAUAUAUAUAUAUAUAUAUAUAUAUNNNNNNNNNNNNNNNNNNNNNNNNNNNNNNNNNNNNNNNNNNNNNNNNNNNNNNNNNNNNNNNNNNNNNNNNNNNNNNNNNNNNNNNNNNNNNNNNNNNNUAUGCAGCACCAAGAGAAGGGGGGCUGAUCGAGAUCAAUCAUAGGGAGGGAGAGAUGAGGGGGAGGAGAUCCGACAGGGAGGCGAGAAGGGUGACGGGCAACACCGAGACGCGCUUCUGCUACAAAUUUUGGGAGGAAGACGGAGGCGGGGGAGGCCAAGAAGGAAGGAGGGACGAACCUGGGGCCGCCGGAGACGCGCCGGCGAAGCCCUGCCCGAAACCCUAGCCACAGGAGUGGGGUUGGAAGUGGGCGGCAGAGGACGGGAGCGGAGAAUCUGGCCGGAGGGGAGGCAGGCCCGGACCAUGGGGAGCUCGGGGGCGUGUUGCGCGUCGCCGGAGGUCGCCGGAAGCGGCCAGCGUGGGUGGUCGCGGCGGCGAUGACUCCAUGGGCGAGAGGGAGAGGAGGCGAGCCCGUGCUCUUUCUGUGGUCUUCUUUUUUCUUCACAAAUCUGCUCGGACCGCGGGUUGAAUACACCAAACGACAGGGUGUUUUCUGCAAAAAUGAAACGUUUUCCCAGAGUCACUUAAAGGGACUGCGGGUUGAAUUCGUGAAAACUGAGGGACUUUUCGAAAAAAGUGACGACGGCGUACGAUAGAAACAGUAUCCGCUUUAUUAUUAUUAGGUAAAAAGAUAAAGAUAUAUAUACCUAGUAUUUUGCCCAAAAUAAUGGGUAUUCAGUUGAAUACCCUUGACUUGAGGUGGGCCCGCCCCUGCACUAAACUAUCAAGUAGUCAUCAUACUGAGCUUGUCAAACGUUCAUAACGUCUGCAUCAGCUCUUGCAAUAGGUCUGUCACCUAGCGGUGCAUCAAAGACAUAAUUCUCUUGUGCAGCAACGAAGAUAAUCCUCAGAUCACGGACAUAGUCCGCAUCACUGCUACUAUCAUCUUUCAACUUUUCUCUAGGAACAUAUCAAAAAUAUAUAGGAGCUAUAUCGCGAGCUACUGAUCUACAACAUAGAUAUGCAAAUACUAUCAGGACUAAGUUCAUGAUAAAUUAAGUUCAAUUAAUCAUAUUACUUAAGAACUCCCACUUAGAUAGGCAACUCUUGAGUCAUCUAAAUGAUCACGUGAUCCAAAUCAACUAAACCAUGUCCGAUCAUCAUGUGAGAUGGAGUAGUCUUCAAUGGUGAACAUCUCCAUGUUGACCAUAUCUCUAUAUGAUUCAUGUUCGACCUUUCGGUCUCCAGUGUUCUGAGGCCAUGUCUGUACCUGUCAGGCUCGUCAAGUUUAACCCAAGUAUUCCGCAUGUGCAAAACUGUCUUGCACCCGUUGUAUGUGAAUGUAGAGCCUAUCACACCCGAUCAUCAUGUGGUGUCUCAGCACGACGAACUGUCAUAACGGUGCAUAGUUAGGGAGAACACUUAUAACUUGAAAUUUUAGUAAGGAAUCAUCUUAUAAUGCUACCGCCGUACUAAGCGAAAUAAGAUGAUGUGGCAUCCCGGCUCAGAGCAACCGGUUUACCUUGCAUUGCCAGCCCAGAGAUCAAGUCUUCUCACAACACACAACAUCAUGGUACAGAAACAACCGCUUUAUUGAUGCGAGCAGGUACAUAAGUCUGAUAUUACAUCGAGAUAAGAGGCCAAGCGGCACACAUGGUGCAGCUGAACUGUAUGUACAUUAUUUAAUGAACAUGAAAGGACACCGAAUAAUGACGCGGCAGCAGAAUAAGGACAUCAUAUCAACUACGCGGCAGCAGAAUAACGACGAAGUGGAAAUCCAUAGUACAGGGACACCGACGUGGACACGAUGCUAGACGCUGGACGCUCUCCGGUCCAAUCAGUCUUGCUUGAAAGCUGGCAUGACACGCCAGGUCAGUACAUUGAAUGUACUUACAAGCUCACAACAAACAUAAGCACAAUGACAAACAAUAUCAUGACAGUUAAUCAGGUUUAAUGCAAUGCAAGUGAUACUACAGAUGCAAUGAAACCGACAUGUGCACCGAGUCCCUCGGACUCGCUUAACAGACAGGUUACCACUGUAACCGAACUGUGAUCAUACCCGGAUCACAACUGAAGCCAAUCACUUACGAUCAUCACAUGAUCCAUAGUUCAUCAUGAAACCAGUGCCACAAUAAUACCAAGUUUGCAAGAUUAAAUAUAAUUUUUGAUCCAUGGUGUGACUUACUACCGAGUUGUGUCCAUAACUGAGGACGCGGGUAUCGAUAGAUUAAAAUACACUCUGUAGAGGUUAGUGCACUUUACCCACACUACGGAACUCAAGGGCCUCGCACUCCCAUUUGGGUGGACCACGGAGUUCCGACGAAUCCUUUCCCUUGCCAUGACACUCGCCCGGCCACUCCGACUCACUCCCACUUAGGGCUAAGUCAUGGGCGGCCCAUGCCUACCAAAGGCAUCUUCGGCCACCGUCGUGGCAAAAUGGUCCCAAACGGGGACAAGGUACCAUAAAAACAAACGAGCACACAAGGUUAUGUCUGCUUACCGGGCCAGGGUACCGCACGCCCAUAACCUUCCCUCAUUGGAGGCACCGGUAAGAGGCAUGACAAAGGACCGAAUCAAGACCCGCCAUAAAGGUAAAUGUGGUCGCACUAAAAAGAACCCGAUUCAGAGGCACCAUGACUUGAUCAACUUAAUCUUCAAGUUGGAUUAUUUUCAUAUUUAACUUGAAAAUAAACUCACUACAAGCCAUAUGAUGCCAUGAUCAUGCAACUAUCUGAUAUACUCAAGAUGCAACUCAUAAGAACGGAUCAACAUCAAAGAAAUAACUUUCUUGCACUACUCAUCAACAAAACUACUGGUAUUACUACACUGGUUAUUAUCAAAUCUCACUUUUAGUCAUUUAUCUUUAAUAUGAAAAUUUACUUAUCAAAAUAAACUACCAUUAUUUAUCAAAGCACUUUCAUUAAGCCAAAAUAUUUACUCUACUUGAUUAAACUACUUCAUGCAAUCAACCUAUAACUAAAGUGAGCAUAACAAGCAUGAUAAAGUAACUAAGCAUUUAAUCAUAAUUAUUUAACUAUUUUAAAUGCAUGAAAAUAAGCUCAUAUUCAAGUAGAGAAUCAUAGAUAUUGAGAUGACACUAUCCAAAUGUUAUUGUGGCUUGCCUUAGUGCAGAGGAGGUUCACACUCCUCCUGGAUAGCUUCAAGACAAGUCUCUCCUUUUGAAAAUAUUUAAAAACCACAAAACAAAAUAUCAAGAACCACUCUAAAAAUCACCAGAAAUUCUAGGCAGCAAGGAAAAAUCCACACUUUGGUGUGCUGCUAGAGUUUUCUGUAACAAACCAAAUGCAAAAAGAAUCAACUCAUUUGGACUUAUAGGCUAGGAGAAAUUCAAGGUCAAAGUUCUGGUCAAAAUAUUUGAAUUAAUUUGAAUAAACAGAAAAUCCAGGGGGGGUGACGUCGAUGGCGUAAAGCCAAAAGAUGCCUCCACUCGUACCGCUUCGGGUGCGAGUGGAGAGGCUGAUAGUGGGCCCCAUUAGUCAGGAGAGAGGGGAGGGGGAGAGAAACAGAAUGCGGCGGUGUUUUGCCGGAGCUCACGCCGGUGANNNNNNNNNNNNNNNNNNNNNNNNNNNNNNNNNNNNNNNNNNNNNNNNNNNNNNNNNNNNNNNNNNNNNNNNNNNNNNNNNNNNNNNNNNNNNNNNNNNNGCCGGAGGAAACCUGCUUUGCCUUUGCUGCGGUCUUGCGCAUGGUGACGCGGGCCUCGCCCAAGAGAGCCAAAGAUGGUACAUUCUUCACCGCCUUGCCGGCAAAGGUCGAGGAGGAGAGGGACAUGGUGGCUGCCGCCAUUGGAAAGCUAACAAAAGUGUCUGAUGUGUUGUAUGGGUUCUCAAAGAGAUGAGUGAGUGUGGAGAUGAUUUGGUAGUAGAGGGGGAGGUGGCUACUUAAGGCAGCAGGAGGUGUCACAGGAAAUCCAUUCAGUGUGCAAUCUGACAAGAUAAAUAAGGAUAGAGAGAAAAAUCUUGAGCUUUGCUGCCAUUGGUGCUGCACAGAUCUCUUGCUCUCAGAACACUUGGCGCAGUGAGAGCCAGGAGAAAUGAGUAUUGCUGUGAACUUGUGGCCAGGAGUGGCUGUGACUGGAUUUCGUUGGAGACAGCUGAUUGAAUCAAGUGUGUGAGUGAGACCUGCAUGGUUCGCAUGCACCAGAAAGCAUCGCGCGACGAGUUGUUGCGCUCACAUAUCUUUUAGAUUUCAGAAAAUCAAAAUAGGAUGCGCCAUCUCCUCUGGUGAAAGAUCACAUUAUCGAGCCAAAUUCCAUACAUAAAGCUAGAUAUAUCCAUUUUUACCGUAAUGAAAAAUGUAGGUCCAUCUUAAUUUGCCAUUCAGCUGAUAAAAUCAAUUUAUUCCAAUUUACAUCUGAAUAUUCUAUAUAUUUUAGUUUAACGUGGAGACUAAUUAUACUGCUACUGAAAUAAAAGAAGUUAUGUUUGGUUAAAUAAAAACAAAACUAUUAAUUUAACCUUAAAAGAAAAUGUUCCUCUAUUCAUGAUAAAUCUUUGAACAAAAAUAAAUAAAUAAAUCAAAGUGUGUAACAUUACCAAUGGCCCUUGCAGUUGGAUACCAAAUGACUCCUUCACUGAGAAUAUGGUAGGUAGACGCUGCAGAAUGAGGACCAGAACUGCUCGCCCAUAUAAACUCAUCCUGCAUCUCGAACUGGAGUUGGAUAUUUUGAAAAGCGUCCCACAGGUAUGCAUGGAUCAGUUUUAAAUGGUCACCUGGUAGUUUGAUAGACAUUUUCUGAAAGAAAUUUAUACUAACUUAGAGGUAGGUGCGGCAUCGUGCGUGGCGAUGGUGAUAACCUGUUUGGUUUAGGGGCAGUGCAGCAUCAGUCGUGUCGGUGGUGAUUGCGACAUGGUAAUUGAACACGGGGAUGAUCGCAUAGGACACAACGAUGUUUCAGUCGUCAGGUUUGGACCGGUCUUAAUUUGGAUUCAUAUACUGGACCUUCUUUUGCAUCCAUCGCAUGAGUAACUAACAAUGGGUGCUUCAGGCCAGGUGAAAAACUGGGAGCAGGGAGGCAAAUCUGCAGUGGACAAUGCUUUGGCACAGGGUCCUUUGUACUACUUCACAUGAAUGGUAGUACAAUUCAAACCCCACACACACACGUGCGUGCUGUUCGCUGCAGUCUCAUAGCCAACGGCCAUUCUUGAUUACUAGAUCAAUGUCUAUCUGUCUCUGAAUUGUCCAAAUCAUAACGUAAAAGCGCAGAGACCUGAAAAAUCACUGAUGCAGUAUAAUUGGACACACUCUGUUUUGCUGCAGAUUAAGAAAUGAAAGAAAGCCAUGGCCCUUGCAGUUGAGCCGGAUGGAUUGAGAUCGUUUAUGAUGGUUGCCUUAAUGGAAGGCCUGAAGAAUAAUAGCCAGCUUCGAUGAAAAGCAUUUCCCUCGCUCGGGCCCCGUAGAUUCACCGGCGUACACGAACAUAUAAGUUGUCUCUUGUCUGAACAAAUUAUAUAUGUUCUUUUUUACAAGGGAGCAUAUACAGAAGAGGGAAGGGGAAAGAUUACAAAUUCUUUUCUAUCCAAGAAAGAAAAUUAUUUGAGUGUUUUCUCUCUACUCCAUGGGUAACCAGAGUAAGAUCUUCGCUGAAACUUCCAAGCCAUCUUCCCAGAGAGGGCCUCUCAGUUCUGAAUAUUUAAUCAUUCCCGAUCUUCUAUACGUUCAAACAGCAUGGAAUGACUAUAUCCAUGCUAAAUGGAGUGUUAAUGGCUAUUCUUGCAAGCUUAAUUUCAUCAAAGGUUGACAUCCCGAUGAGCUUGUGAGGUAGAAAAGCAUUUCCAGCAUGCCUGAGAAAAACAGUAGUUCUAGAAGAGAUGAAGCUGAGAUUCUUCAGCUGUUCAUGGCAAAGGAUACAACUGUAAGAGUUAAGAUAAAAUGUUUUCCUCUGCACCAUAUUUCUGGUGCUAAGUUUGUCAUAAAGGAGCAGCCAACAACUUUUUCCAUUUGAGUCGACAGGCACUCUUAUUUCAUCAGCGUCUCCCUGAGUCCGAAGUGCAGUAAUGUUCUCUUGCAAUGGGACUGAACUGAGAGUGAGCCUGAGCAGAAAUAGGUCCAUGAAACUUGUCUGCUAGAUCAUGCAGUUGCAAAGAUGCACUGAAAGGAUAUUCAAGUUGGUGGCAUAGGAGCAAAGCUCAGCAUAAAGUUGUUGUAAAGGUUAGUCAGACCAAUUAUGUAGUCAAAGCAGCAAAGAAUCACCCGAGCCUGGUUUACAUGUUGCCACUCUUUGAAAUUGGGGAAUCAGUUUUAAAUGUGUCUUCCACCAACAUGGUAACAGUUAAGCAAGAACACACAGAAGUAUUUAUCUGUUCUCGUGAACCAUCAUAUCACAACAAAAUGGUCAGACCGAUGCAAGGUGCGACAUGGAAGUGGACAAACCGAACCGUGCUUUUGCACAAAUUUCUUGUAAUUUACAUCAUGAUAGUACAACUCAGGCCACAGGAGAACAUGCCUCAUUGCGAGCACAGUCCCAAGACACCUUACUUGCCGGGGACAAAGUUGGUGGCGAAUGCCCAUGCAUUGUUGUUGACGGGGUCGGCGAUGUGGUCAGCGAGGUUCUCAAGUGGGCCCUUGCCCGUGACGAUAGCUUGGACAAAGAAGCCAAACAUUGAGAACAUGGCAAGGCGACCGUUCUUGAUCUCCUUCACCUUGAGCUCGGCGAAUGCCUCAGGGUCUUCGGCCAAGCCAAGAGGGUCGAAGCUACCGCCUGGGUAGAGUGGGUCAACGAUCUCACCGAGUGGGCCGCCGGCAACACGGUACCCCUCGACGGCACCCAUGAGCACGACCUGGCAUGCCCAAAUAGCUAGGAUGCUUUGUGCGUGCACUAGGNNNNNNNNNNNNNNNNNNNNNNNNNNNNNNNNNNNNNNNNNNNNNNNNNNNNNNNNNNNNNNNNNNNNNNNNNNNNNNNNNNNNNNNNNNNNNNNNNNNNAAGAUCAAUUUCGAUGCGUCUUAUGAGAUGGCGACAGGAGCAGGGAGCUGGGGUGCCCUGGCCAGGGACGCUGAGGGCGACAUGGUUCUGGCAGCGGCGGGUGGGCUGCAAAACAUGCAAGAUGCUGUGCAUGCGCAGGCGACUGCAGUACUCAAGGCUAUCCAGAUCGCAGAACAGUUUGGGAUGGGCCGGGUGAUCUUCCAAAUGGAUUGUCUCUCGCUGCAGCAAGCAACGGCAUCGUCAACGUCAGACCGUAACCCCCUGGGAGUUUUAUUCAGGGAAGCUAAGUUCCAAAUGCAGCUCUCUUUCCUCCAUGCUACUGUAGUUUUCCAGCCCAGGAAUUGUAACAACCCAGCGCAUGUGCUGGCUGUCUCUCACGGUAGAAACCUCCCAAAUGGCCAAUGUGCUUGGCUUGAGGAGUUUCCUGAUGAUGUAACCCGUGCCUGGCCGCCGAUAUGGUCGGUCCACCGUAAUUUUGGAACGCAAGGUAUUCCAGCUAAAAAAAAAUGCAACGGUUACUGUUUCGGGAAGCAUUGAAAUCAGAAGCCGCGGCUUUUCUGCAAACCAAACGCGUCUAAUCGGUUUGUGCUUAUGCCGGGGAGAAACGAUGGUGACAUACUCACAAUUAUGUUAGUUUGAUGUAUACAAUUUAAAACCAAACACCGAAUAAUGUCUAUUUUUCAAACCGAACUAAAUCAUGUCAGGUGUGUGGCACUUCGGUCCUUUUUCUUGAUGGCAAUUUCAGUCAUGCAAUGAUGACAAAUUUGAGUGACACGACGAGUUUCUGUCUAAAAUAGCAUGAAAGUUGCCAUGCUUGCCUUCAGAGUUGCCAUGUGCUCGUACCUGACGAUUUAGCCUAUAUUUUGAUUAAAGCGGUUCGGUUUUGGAUUUCGGUUUUUGCUUGAAAGUGCCCACCCAAUGAGUGGUGGAGCUACAUAUAAAGGAAUAUCUAAAAGGAUUUAUAUUUAGAACGGAGGGAGUAGUAACUAUGGACCGGAUUUACCUCCUCGUUGUCCAUGAUCUACGGGCAAAUUUCUUCCCCACAGAGACAAAGGGAAGGUUUUUCUCGGUAAAAGUGAAGACAACAAAAGUAAUUGUGAUGUGGUAUUCUUUGUGGUGACUUCGUCAAUCUUCAAACUCUAUAAAUUCGAUCCGGUCUUUCGCAGUGUGAGUGCAUGUGUGUGGUGAUGUCAGUCAGUGAGUGUGCGUCUGCAUUUUAAUCGGUGUUUCUCAGGAGAAAAAACGUUACUGCCUUCGUGUACGUUACAAAUUAGUAAACCUUUUAAUCAUUAUCUCUACUGAUUUGAGAAAAUUGUGUAAUCCUUAAGCUUGGUACCCAUUUUUACAAGAGCCAAAGAAGUGCUCUGCUGCUAUCCUUUUGUAUAUAUAUUACUCUUUUGUACAAAUUUUUGCAUGUAAAGUAGAACUUGUAAGUACACGAUUUGCACUGGAUUAAUCUGCCAGCUGAACACAUGAUAAGAUGGUUGGCUAUGUCCUGCACUCCAGCUGAACUGUUUGUUGCUCCUCCUGCUGGUCCAGCUUUUGCUGCUGCAGUGCCUUUUCGGCCUCGAUCUUUCUGAAUGCUGUAGAGCUGAUCUUGUUCCCUGUAGAUUUCUCUGGCACUAGUUCCACCACCUCAAUCUAGGAGAAUGAUAGAAAAAUCAGUUUGUCAUCUUGCAGCACCUACCUAAAAUUUGUAGUUUCUGGAGCAAAUAGUUAGUGUUGUUGCAACCAAACCUCCAGCUGUGUGAGGCCUCUCUCGGCCCUCUUCCUGUUGACAGCAUGCCCUCCUCGCAAUGUCUCCUUGCUGGUCCGAGAAGUGCAUGGAAAUAAUAACAGAUUAAAUAUUUCACACUUGUGUAGAGAAUAGAGGAUAGUUUUUAUGAUACUUCGCCGUGCUAGGAAAAUAGAAAUCCUGUUUAAAAAAAGAAGCAAGCCGGUCUGUUAAGAAGCCUGACCUGACAACGAUUGCCUCCAGAGCCUCGUCGACAAUGGAGGGGCCAUAAGGGUCGAUGAUUGGUUCGACAUGAACCUCAAGAUCCGGCUUGAUAGACUAGCGAGUUGACAGCGAAAUGUGUAAGAUAUAUGAAAAGACUUGAAGCUAAAUUUCAGGCUUACUGGCUGAAGUGCAAGUAGCAGGACACAAGUAAUUGUCACUUUCUAGUACCAAAAUUAUUCAGACGGAACAAGAGACACAGAACCAUACCAAGUUCUCUGCAGGCUACCUAUUAAUCUAGCGAGCUGAGUUCGGGUGAUACAUAGGCUGAGGAACAAGAGACUUUUCACGAUUAGGUGAAAGAUACCUUGAUAUAAUCCUUGACAUUUUCCAUCCGCGUCUCGAUUGGUUGUAUCAGGUAACCAUACUGCAAAGUGGAAGCGAACCACCAAAAACAAGAGAUGCCCAUCAGAUAUAUGCACAUAGAAUUUAUCUAGAAUAAAUCUAGAGGCCAUGACCGAUAGCUAGGCAGCUUUUACAAAGAGAAUGUAUGCAGUUGAACUAAUAAUUGAUGCUUUGAGGUAGAUAUAUGCACCUCAACUAAUGAUUGAUUAACCCCUACCAGAGGUGUGUAUCAGGUGCCCAUAGAGUUUCAACACCCUGUCCACAUUCAAUGAACUUUGUGUAGUUGCCCGGUUGUAUUCGUAGAAGCUUGCUAACAGUACUGCUCAACUACUUAUCAAUGUAUAUAUCUUUAUAUGAUAGUGACACGCUUAGGGCCUCUACUUUGAUUAGCAUGCUUCCAAGAGCGUACGAAAUAGAAAAAAGUAAGUGCCGGACUAACAUGUCAUGCUCAUUGGUACCAUAUACACGGCUGAAUUUCUACCAAAAAUUACCUUACUGAACCUUAGGAACAGAUGACUAUUUCCAAGAGGUUUGAGUCAGCUCAUGUUUUUUUUUUGUAAUAUAUAGUGCAAAGAAAUGCUACACAGAAAAUUUUCUUAAUGGUUCCAAUGCUCCAAAAUCAUGCACUCAAGUGGCAUUGCAUGGGACGACAGAACGGAUCCUUCCCGUUUUCUUGUACCCAGAGAGGAUUCGGUUGGUAUGAGCUGAGAGGUGACCAACAGCUAGGAGGACAUGUAGAUGUGGAGCAGCAUCAGCUACAGUCGUUGGCGUGUCAUGCGAGUUGAGACGUCUCGCGUCUCAAACUUUAAAUUUAAAAAUUGANNNNNNNNNNNNNNNNNNNNNNNNNNNNNNNNNNNNNNNNNNNNNNNNNNNNNNNNNNNNNNNNNNNNNNNNNNNNNNNNNNNNNNNNNNNNNNNNNNNNGCUAAUGGGUACGGUGUUGGAGAAGAUUUCAUUCGCCACAAGUGGGUUAAAUGAAGCUUUUGGAAGUUUGCUCAAAGGCUUUGAGGUACACGAUAAAAUACGUAAUUUCUGAUUGUUCCGCACACGCUAGGUGUGCUCCAUAUACAUAUUAGCCCCUAAGACUCUGGUUGCCAUCCCUAGGCGGCAAACGGAGGAUCACACUCUUUGGUAAUGAUCGUACUGCAUUCAUGCACAGGUGGCUAAGAGUCCGGCGAUAGACCGGAAUUCUGAAUUUGCCGAACUGAGGCGACAGAUUGAUGUCGUGGAUACCAACAUCACACUUGUAAAUAAGCGGCUUGACGAGUCAUAGAGUAUGCACUCAUUUUUUCCUCAUUUGUGUUAGGAAAUAUGAAGAGGAUUGAAAUAUUAAUAUGAUAUGAUGUGGCUGCAGGCGGAGCUGAUGCCAUUGAGGCCCUGAGGGCGGAACUUGCCCUAGCCAAGGAACAAGCCUGGGUUAGCAAUGUGGCUGCCCUAAAGGUAGCCGAAGAAUUGAGAGCCGAACAGGCUGCUCAUCGCCGAAGCGAAGAAAAGAUAGCCGAGAUGGCUAUGGAGCUAAGGGACACUGCCGGCCAGUAUGAGCUUCUCGAGAAGGAGAAUCAGGAAAAGGCGGCUGACCUGAAGAAGCCGCUGGAUUCAACUAAGGAGACGCGCUCUGAAAUUAGAGACACGUGGGAGGAACUUCGACAAGCCGGAGAAAUCACGGCUGGAAAUCCCUAUUUGUUGCGGAUGAAGUUCUUAGAUCCAAAGUAUGCUCCUUUGGAUCAUCUUUGGAGCACUGCAGAUGAAUAUGGGGAUUUGACGAAAAGUACGACUGAUGCGACCAAGUUAUUCAAGGAUCAUAAAGAUAAUGAAACAGAAAGGCUAUUUCUGGUCGCAAUUUAACGCUCCAACGCGCUCAUUGCCAUUGAGUGAGAAGAUGGCCGCUAUAGCCGAGCUCCAUAGGUUGUCCGGUCUUGCAAUGAGGUAUGUAAUAGACCAUCUAUGGUCGAAGGGACCAAGGCUGGACAGUUACUUUGGUUCGGUGCAGCAACUAUUUGGCGCCAGAUCGUGAAUCGAUGCCGUGAAGAGGUCGGCGUGCAUAGAGGGUGCGCGGAUGGCUCUUGCCCGCGUUAAGACAUAUUGGGCAGAUAUGGAGGCCACCAGCAUUGCAACCCAGGGCCCGACAGGAAGCCAAGACCCAGCCGAGCACUAUUUUGAGCAGGUCAUAGAAGGUGCCCGUAGAAUAGAGGCUCAGUGCCUGAAGAAUGUCAUGUUCGAGUGACAAAUCGAUUAAUUGUAAAAAAUUAUGUGUGAAAUAUAGAGGCUGUGUUUAUACUUUUGCCUAAAAGUUUUGUAAUGCCUCAUGUGCGGCCGUUUAUGUAUUCAUAUAACUUGAAAGUUAGCAGUCGUUGGCUUUAGCCCCCAUGCAUAUAAUGUGGGGGUGUUCAAAAAAUAUAUAUGCGUAAUCACACUUCAUCCAUCGUCUUGGUCCAUUAAGGAGGUGAUCGCACGUCGAACCAGGCAACCAGACUUUAUAGCUGUAACACUUUCACUUAGCCAUAGGGGUUUAAUGGUGGGGCUACUAAGUAGCCCCUAGUACAUCCGCGUGCAUCCGUAUAGGGGCACGUAUGUUCGUCACCCGGAAACGGUCCUUCGUUAAUGCGGAGGAAUCCUAUAUAUUCCGAUGAGUCUUCGAGUGGUUGACCAGUCUCUCGCUGUAUCAUGACAGUCCGUUUUCAGCUUUCUCUACUGAGGUGCUCAUCCGGAAUAACCAGGGCACAAUCGCAGUAGUUCUCCUUUGGCCGCCUUAGCCGAUAGAACGAAAUGUAAGGCAGCAAACCUAGGAGCCUGGCAAACCCAACAUUUGACCAAAGACAUGAUUCAGAGCUGAUGCAUAUAAGGCCAAACUAUCGAAGCCGAACACUCCCGAAGGUAUUCGGACAUUAUAACAUAUACUGGGCUGAGCAACGCCCUUGAUUAUGAACCCUAUAUUUCCAAGUACCUGCAUUGAUCUUUCUUGGCGAAAUGCCUAUUACGCCAGUAUCCGCUGUGGGUGUAUUGAAUACCCACGGGAUGUCAAGCAACAAAAGAUAGUAAAGAAGGUUUACACAGGGGCUUAAUCUAAAGAGAAACCUUUGAGCGGGGCCCUGCUGCACGUCUGCGCAUUUAUCUCCGUUGUGCCGUAUCCUGGAAGGGUGUUGCACGAAUAGUGUCUGUAAAAACGAAAACUCAUGUAAAAGAGUAAGCGUGCCAGAAGUUAGUUAUUAUCAAUGGAUGUUAGAAAUGCGAGAUAUUUGCCCAUUGAUGAGGCAAGCCGAAUUGUGGGCUUUAUUACAUGUUUGUAGCCCCUGGUAUCAUUUAUGGGGAUAUAUGUAUAGCACCCAGCUCAGGUUUAUCCGGGCUGUUGUUGAUGAUGGUGCACUGGACUCGUCUAACCGUGUCCGUGGUCUUGACGACCGAUCAUGCGUUCUGGUGGGAGAGGCCGCUUAAUGUCCGGCUACAAGAGCCGCUGCAUACUGCUCUGUGUUUCCGCUAAUGGUUAUGACACCACGUGGACCAAGCAUCUUAAGUUUAAGGUAGACGUAGUUCGGUAUUGCGUUAAAGCAAGCGAAGGCCGUUCUUUCGAGUAAUGCAUGAUAACCGCUACUGAAGGGAGCGAUGUCGAAGAGUAGUUCCUCGCUUUUAAACUUGUCGGGAGAACCCAAUGUCAGCUCUAAUACGAGGGAACCGCAACGAACUCUGUGUGAGUUGCGUGGACCAUGUUUACUGUUUUGACUUCUAGUGGGAAUUUUUUCUAUCCCCCCGUGUUCGGCUGGCGAGGCUCAUCCUCAUCUUCGCUUGGCAUUUCCCUUCCCUUGUGUUCGGUGUUUAACUUGCCGGCCUGCUUGAAGACCCAACAUUCUCUGUGAGUAUGAUUUGCAGGUUUUUCGGAGGUGCCAUGGAUUUGGCACAAUCUAUCCAGGACUUUAUCCAGGCCGGACGGUCCCUGUUUACUGCCCUUAAAUGGCUUAUUUCCUUGACCAUGUCGAGAGCCCCUGAAUCCGGCAUUCACNNNNNNNNNNNNNNNNNNNNNNNNNNNNNNNNNNNNNNNNNNNNNNNNNNNNNNNNNNNNNNNNNNNNNNNNNNNNNNNNNNNNNNNNNNNNNNNNNNNNUGAACAUGGCAAGAUGGGCAAAUGAUAUAUAAUGGACAAUAAGCCAUAACCAUGUGAGGGACAUGUAGAAGAAAUGCGCGAAGUGUUUGCGCGAAGAGAGCGGUGGGAAAGACAAUCCACGUGAUCCCAAUUCAUCAUUGCUCUCUAGAGCUCGUUUUGUCAACUCAUGGGAUUGUGUAUACAUGGGUACCUUCACCUAUGUUACCUUUUUCAUUCCACUCAAGUGGUGUAGGUGAGGUGGGAAAGACCAAAUGGUGGUCAUCUUCAUCUUGAUGGAACCAUGUGGGGGGUGCAUCAUAUUCCACCAGGGCCAUCGUCUUGUCCAAAGGGAGGACGGAGUCGUCAAGGAUCGGCACGUCAUCAUAAAUGGGACCUAGCACCAAAUGAGAAGACACAAUAGAGGUAGAGGUCAAGUUGUUAGAAAUGCAAAUGGCCUCACGAGACCUAUCAACUAUCUCACUCUCUCUAUGUGGUGGUUCACUCACUCCCUCAAAGUAGGUGCACUCAAAGUCACAUAUGGUGGAGUCACUCAUCUCACACAAGUGGUGGGGGUUGUGGCUCUCCUCACAUGGAAAGUGGGGCAACUCAUUAUAUAUGGGGUGAGUGGUGAAGUCACUCUCACUCUCAAUAUGGUGGCAAAAGUCACUCAAGUCAUCAUACGUCGCCGUGGUCAAAGGGAAAAUCCCAUGCUCAAACAUCUCGUUGUCGUCGCCGUGGAUGAAGGCCGAAGAUGGCACAAUGUCACUCUCCUUCAUGACCGAAGGGAAAAUUUCAUGCUCGAUCAUCUCAUCACCGUCACCGUGGAUGAAGGCCGAAGAUGGCACAUCAUCACUCUCACCUCCAAAGAUGGAAGCAUCAUCCUUGCUCGCCACCUUGUCACUCGCCUCCAAAGCUUGGUCCUUGAGGGUCUCCGUAGUCGUACUCGUUGCCGCACCGUCUUGAAAAAGAGUCGUGGUAGACUCGGCACCAUCAAUGCCACAAAGAGGGGUGGCGGUGAAGUAGAACUUGGGAGCAUCGUCUUGGAGCUCGUCGGGCUUGGACAUCUUGGUGGUACUAGCCUCAUGCUCAUCGUAGAGCUUGGUCGCUGCGAAGUAUGCUUGGGGUGGAGAAGCCUUGGCCCUUAUGAGUUCUUGUUCCGCCUUGAGAGCACCAAUGUAGUAGUCGUCGAAGGACUUGUAGUUCUCGAGGAAGAUAGUCUUGGAGAUGUCGUUGUGCAAUCCCAUCAUGAAGUGUAACUUCAUCGAAAUGGGGUCGUCCACGCCGGCUCGUUACAAGGCAAUCUUAAUCUCCUUGAAGUACGCGUUGAUGGACUUGGAUCCUUGGAUGGUGUUCUCCAAUUGGCGUUGAAGUUGUUCUGUGUAGGUUGGAGGCAUGAACUCUCACCGCAAAGCUCUCUCCGUCUUGGGCCAACUCAUGUCGUAGUACUCCGAAGGUGUGUGAAACCACCAUGCCGAUGCAUAGUCGUGGAAGUUUCUUGUGGCGCACUUCACUUGAUCUUCGGGACGAACUUGAUGUAGCUUGAGGUAGUCAUCCAUCAAAAGCUCCCACUCGAGAUACUCCUCGGGUUCUUGAGUCCCAUAGAAAGGAAUCUCAUUGUCGGUGUCGAGGUCGUAGUAGCUCGUGGAAGUCACGGACUUGAGCUUGGGGAGCUUCUCUUGAGCAUAGUCUUGAGGUGCUUGUUGGCGAAGAUGCCGUAUGUCCGUAGGCGAAGAUGCCUUGAAGUUGCUUGGCGAAUAUGCCAAGGGAGACGGUGAAGUCGUUGAGCGGUUGUUGGUGUUGAGCUUUUGACCUUCACGUUCUUGUUGGUGAUGGUGUCGAUGUCGAUGUGAUCUUGCCGGAGAUGGUAGCUUGGAAGGAUGUGCUCUUGAGCGUCUUCUCGAAGAUGAGGAAGAUCGCUUGUAUGACUUGAUGAGGGCUUUGAUCUCCUCCAUUUUAGCUUGCAUCUUGGUGUCGGAGUUGUUGUUCGUGGCAUGGAACUCGUCGUUGUUGUUGUAGACCGAAGGUGAAAUGCCUUGCCUAUCCAUCACAAGACUCGAGUAGAGGUGAGUAGGGAAUGAGAUAAACAAUACCAAGUUACCUUUUCCCAAAGUUGAGGAUGUAUCCCGUUUCACUCAACAUGAAAUGAAAGAAUGAUGGAAUUGGUACCGGACUUGUUCACUCACACCUAUCAAGUAAAGCUUAUGGUAGAGCUCGGUGAGGAUAGUGGCACAAAAAUUUGAUGCAAAAUGUUAGCAAGAGUCAAUAAUGUUGAGAGAGAUUCACAAAUUCGCAAGCGAAACAAGUAGACCAAUAGCAAUGAAUGGCACACAGAAAUGCACACAUGGAUAGAUAAAUGGGGUCGUGCAACCAAGGAAUGAGCACAAAAUGUGGAAUCCACGAAAAACGCUUGUGUUGCACAACUCAAGAGAGACGCUAGCACGAUUUCUCAAUAGCCGGAUACGACACUUGUACACAACCUAUAAGAUGCAAAAUGGAUAAACUCUCUAUCCCAAGUAUGCUAUGUAUGUAUGGUUCCCGGUGUUUAUCACACAAUGAUCCAAGAUGAUCAAGUAUGAUACCAUAUGAUAUAUUUUAAUGCUAUGGCUAUUGCUUACAAGCUUCUUUGCUCUCUUUAUUUUGCUUAAAAGCUUUAUUUCUUUUUUUGUAUGGCCACUUUUGUACAAUGCACAAACCAAGAUAGCAAUUGUGUAUAUGCGGGAACAAACGUGUGACACAAGCUAUGAUAUGAUGAUACCAAUAUGAUAUGGUAUGUAUGCUAUGGGAAGUAUGAUCACUAAUGUGCACAAGUAACGUUGCCAGCAAUACUCAAAUGGCUAGUCUCGAUAGGCAAGUAACGCAAAAUGGGCUAGGGGUUAACAAUGCAAUUGCAAGGGUAAUAUACAAUGGUGUCGUCGAGGUUACCGUCCUUGGCGAUGAUGAGAUGCGGUGUUGCUGAUGUCGACCCNNNNNNNNNNNNNNNNNNNNNNNNNNNNNNNNNNNNNNNNNNNNNNNNNNNNNNNNNNNNNNNNNNNNNNNNNNNNNNNNNNNNNNNNNNNNNNNNNNNNGGAUCUUUGCAUCUUUGUUCUUUUUACCCCGGCUGCCCAUGCUUUGCUGCAUCAUGUUGUAAUCUUCAAAUAUACAAUUCGUGUUGUAAUAUAAGUAGGAGUGCUAACUAAAAGCACUGAAAUCAAGUGACGUGACGGCGGUGCUGUGUUGCGAUAAAGAUGGGCCGGGAGAGUAUAGUGUCGUGGUUUCCAUCGGUGUUGUGUACCUGGAUGGCCACAUCAGGCAGAUUUAAAGGCCGCCUAUAAGGAGAUGGACGAGGCGGUAGAUGAGGUGUUCGGCAAGAGCGAGGACGGAGAUGAGGUGGCCAGCUCGGCUGCGCCCUGCCGCCACGAUCACGAAGCCGGCAUGUCCACAAGCGCCGCCGAUAGCAAUGAAGAGUAGCGCAUGGGAGGUCACCGGCGCUAGUAUCCCAUGAAGGCCAAUGCUCCUCCCCUUCCAUUGAAGCCAAGCUUUGUGGCCUCAACAUCGUCGGCCGAUUAGCCGCUUGGCAGCAACGUGGAGACAGAUAGCUUCAAUUCCCGACGCUCAUGGCUGCGGAGGAGGCGGAGGUUCGUUUUUCGGGGCUCGUGAACGGUUGCGAAUGGGCAACGGGCGCUGGCGGUCAUUUCAGGGUAGGUUUAGAGUCUGGUCUAGUUGAAAUAUGUCUAAUAUAAUGAAUUUGCUCCGGUUUAGAUGAAAGGAUCCGGUUUACAUCAAAAUUAUCCAGGUGUGAAUGAAUAUUGUCCGGUGCGUCCAAGUAUGCGUAAAAUUUGUUCAUUUUCGUUAAAAUUCUUCCAAAAUGUAACCGGACAUAUGCAGACAGCUUUGGUUGGCCACCUCCCGCAUCCAUGUCUGCGGACUGGUCCCCCGUCUAUCGACAAAUGCGGUGUCUAAAAUGGACACACUAUCCAUCUGCGGACCGCAUCCAAGGAAAGGAUAUGGGAGCCGGUCGUCCAACCAUGUCCCUCAAAUAGGCAUCAAAUCCGGACAUCAGAGAAGGGCCAGGCGGAACCGUGGUUUUAAAAAACCAGACCGAACAGGCGGUCGAACCAGAUAAAACCAUAAUCGGCCCACCAUUUGUUUUUUUAAGCUCCACAGAUCGUUCCGCGAUUAGAAAGGUGAAAUCGAGUGAAACCAGAUAGUUUUUCUGAAAACCCGGUUUUCAAAAACGGGCAGUUCAACUAGAGAAAUGGUUAUCCUAAUUUAGAAGAAGCGGGUCUCAAACCCAGGUCGUCGUAGCUAACCUUAGCCCAAUUAAGGAUAGUAAAACUGAACCACUUCCCAGUUCUCUCACGCCCUUUGCGAUUUUGGCCGUCAGAUCUCGUGUUUCAACCGUUUCCAGCCGUCUGAUUGCUGCCUCAUCCCGUAAUAAUCGCUACGUGGGCUAGCUGUCCUGAGGGUGUCUACUCCCGUGGAAAAUUCGGUGCACUGUGGUUAACUGGGCCUCCCUCCCGCACAAAGCCCAUCUAGCACCAUUCAAUCUGCAGCGCCCGUACACCUGUCGGUCACUCCAAAAAAAUGUUCCUGUCGAUCUCUCAUCUCCCGAGUCCUCGACCUAGGUUUCGAUGAGCCGCCGCCACCGCCGCCGUCAUCACCGACACCGCCGUAGACUGCGUCCUGGUCUGGCUUCUUAGCCCUUGUUCGCCGCACGACCCGGCAGCGUGUCCUCGCUUCUCCCUCCUCUGGUCCUCCUUCCUCCACAUCCAGCGGCGCCUCCUCCCUAUUCGCCCACAGCCUCCUGUACCUCAUCGCCGUCCGCCGGCUGCUCGCCCACCGCAUCCUCGCCCAGCACCUCGUGUAGCCAUAUCCCGGAGCUGGAAGACGCCACCCGAUGCCGGCGCACUUAUAGCAGCCACGGCGGCUGGCCAUGAGGAGGAGGAGGAAACCCUCGGCCACGGAUUCGAGCGCUUCGAUGCUGCCAUAGCCGUGGCCUCCGAGCCGAGCUCCUCAUGUGGGACUGCACUCAGAUUGACCUUGCUGCAACCGUCUCUUUAGGGGAACAGGUACAUGCUCAUGAUUUUUUUUAUCCCCUCCUCUCGCCAAUCCCUCUCCCAAAACUCACUUUUAUUAGUGAUUCGGCGUUGAUCUACAGUCGAUAUAUAUAUCAAAGGUGAUUUUCUUCUAAUAAUUGUGCAGUUCUGUUAAGGAAAGGAAAAUAAAAGGAAUAAGCUGCAGUAAAAUUUUGGUGAAGAACUUUUUUGCCUUACCUUGUGAACAUGUUGGUCCUCAGAUUUUGAUUAUUGAUGAUUUGUGGUUCAUACAUGUUUUCUAUAUUCGAUCACUUCAUUUGUUCACAUACUACUUGAUGUUGCAUGCUCUACAGUCAAAUCACCACUUAGGAAGAAGAGGCCGGUGAACGCGCUCAUGGACCAGCUUGGCCUGCAGGACCCAGCCAAUACUGUGUCAAGUGUUGGUGCGUGGUCGCAUGGACACCAUCGACACACAUAGGAACGGUUCGGUUCAGCAGCUGCAAAGCACAUCCAGCAGGUGCGACCUCCAUGCUCGGGUAACAACAACGAUCAGCAUGGUACACCGACAAUCCGCUUCUACUCACCUUGCCUUUGCCCCCUUGCUACAGUUCCAUGCUUUGAUAAUGCAUUAAUACAGCCAUGCAGGUAAAACAAAUAGGAAAAUUGACGUUGCUCUCCACACGGAAGCCUACAAUCAUGAACUUCUCCAGUUUUGCAAAGUUUGGAGAUGAUUGAAAUCUGCAUGCAUAGAAGCAUUUGAAGUAAAUCAGGUUUGAAUGGUAGGUACCAUAUGGUAGGAAAUAUGUUAGGUAUGGUGGUCUUCAUGAGAUGCAUAUUUCAUCAUAAGCUGCCCUGAAAGAGGUAAUAUGUAGUCUCAAGUAAGANNNNNNNNNNNNNNNNNNNNNNNNNNNNNNNNNNNNNNNNNNNNNNNNNNNNNNNNNNNNNNNNNNNNNNNNNNNNNNNNNNNNNNNNNNNNNNNNNNNNUUAUCCUUGAUGGCAACAAUACAAUACGUGCCUUGCAACCCUUUCUGUCACUGGGUAAGGACACCGCAAGAUUGAACCCAAAGCUAAGCACUUCUCCCAUGGCAAGAAAGAUCAAUCUAGUAGGCCAAACCAAACUGAUAAUUUGAAGAGACUUGCAAAGAUAACUCAAUCAUACAUAAAAGAAUUCAGAGAAGAUUCAAAUAUUAUUCAUAGAUAAACUUGAUCAUAAACCCACAACUCAUCGGAUCUUGACAAACACACCGCAAAAAGCUAUUACAUCGAAUAGAUCUCCACAAGAGAGGGGGGGAACAUUGUAUUGAGAUCCAAAAAGAGAGAAGAAGCCAUCUAGCUAAUAACUAUGGACCCAUAGGUCUGUGGUAAACUACUCACAACUCAUCGGAAGGGCUAUGGUAUUGAUGUAGAAGCCCUCCGUGGUCGAUUCCCCGCCGGCAGAACGCCGGCGAAGGCUCCAAGAUGGGAUCUCGCGGAUACAGAAGGUUAUGGCGGUGAAAAUUGUGUUUCGGGUGCUCCCUGGAUGUUUUCGAGGUAUGUAGGCUUAUAUAGGAGGAAGAAGUAUGUAGGUGGCCGCCCGAGGGGCCCACGAGACAGGGGGUGCACCCUACAGGGGGGCGUGCCCUCCUAUCUCGUGGCCGCCUCGGCUGCUUCUUGACUUGCACUCCAAGUCCUCUGGAUCACGUUCAUUCAAAAAAUCACACCUCCGGAGGUUUCGUUCCAUUUGGACUCCGUUUGAUAUUCCUUUUCUUCGAAAUACUGAAAUAGGCAAAAAACAGCAAUACGGGUUGGGCCUCCGGUUAGUAGGUUAGUCCCAAAAAUGAUAUAAAUGUGUAAAAUAAAGCCCAUAAACAUCCAAAAGGGGUAAUAUAAUAGCAUGGAACAAUCAAAAAGUAUAGAUACAUUGGAGACGUAUCACCCACCCUUACUUGGCACGCCCCCUGCCUCGUGGGCACCUCGUGUGCCUCCUGGACUCUGUUUUCUUGCACGUUACUUCUUUUGGUCGAUAAAAAUUCAUUAUAUAAUCUCUUGAAGGUUUUGACCAACGUAUCACGCAAAAAUCCUUUGUUUCGAGCUAUUUUUUCUGGCAGAUCUAGAGCAUCAAAACGUCACCCUCCUCCAACAAUGAAGACAAGGAUGCUUGGCUAUUGAAGAUAGAGCUGAAAAGAGAAGAACCGGAGGAGAUCAACAUGGAUGAAGGGAUCAAGAAGGCCAUGGAGGAUCAAGCUCCGGCAGCGAAAGAAGAAAACAUCCCUCAACCUUUACAUAACCUCUUUACCCCAACUGAGAUUGAUGCUUUCAAGAUGAUUGCGUUAGCUCGCAUACAAAACAAGCAUCAAACAUAGGAAAAUAUUUUGUUGAAGGAUCAUAUCGUCGCACUCAAGGGCGUUAUCCGCAAGUUGGAGGAGCUUUUACGCUCGAUGUGCGAUUAUCCACCAUCAUCAUCACCGCCUUCAUCACCUCCGAGGACAUAAUCACAUGGGUAUGGGCACUCCCCUUGGCAACUGCCAAGCUUGGGGGAGGUGCCCCGGUAUCGUAUCACCAUCACACUCCUAUCCUUACUGUUUUACUUAGUUCGAUCCCUUUGGUAAUAUCUAGAUCUAGUAGAAUAAAGUUUUGGUUUGAAUUAGUUUUAUGGUUUGCUUUGUGAUCCUUCUAUGUAAUCGAGUCCGUGAGCUAUAUAAUAAAGAUUAGUGUGAGUCAAGGGCUUUGCUAUCCUGCUAUGAUCUUGAGAAAAUAGAAAGAAUAAAAAGAAUAAAAGAGUUCAUAUUGAUCUUAUGGAUAGUAAUGACUUCACAUAUAAGAGUAUGAGGCAUAAAAGUUAUUGAGAGUUGACAAACAUAGUUUUGGUCAUCGUUGCAAUUAAUAGGAAGUAAUAAAGAAAGAGAGGUUUUCACAUAUAAAUAUACUAUCUUGGACAUCUUUUAUGAUUGCGAGCACUCAUUAAAGUAUGACAUGCUAAAGAGUUGAUGUUGGACAAGGAAGACGACGUAAUGGGUUAUGUUUUCUCACAUCUUAGUUAAAGUAUAUUGUCAUGAUCGUCCAACAUGUUGAGCUUGCCUUUCCCCAUCAUGCUAGCCAAAUUCCUUGCACCAACUAGAGAUACUACUUGUGCUCCCAAAUAUCCUUAAACCCAGUUUUGCCAUGAGAGUCCACCGUACCUACCUAUGGAUUGAGUAAGAUCCUUCAAGUAAGUUGUCAUGUUGCAAGCAAUAAAAAUUGCUCUCUUAAUAUGUAUGACUUAUUAGUGCAAAGAAAAUAAGCUUUAUACGAUCGUGUGAUAUGGAAGUAAUAAAAGCGAGGGACUGCAUAAUAAAGGUUCAUAUCACAAGUGGCAAUAUAAAGUGACGUUCUUUUGCAUUAAGAUUUUGUGCAUCCAACCCUAAAAGAACAUGACAACCUCUGCUUCCCUCUGCGAAGGGCCUAUCUUUUACUUUAUGUCUUUUACUUUUUGCAAGAGUCAAGGUGAUCUUCACCUUUCCCUUUUUCAUUUUAUCCUUUGCCAAGCACCUCGUGUUGGAAAGAUCCUGAUAUAUAUAUAUAUAUAUAUAUAUAUAUAUAUAUAUAUAUAUAUAUAUNNNNNNNNNNNNNNNNNNNNNNNNNNNNNNNNNNNNNNNNNNNNNNNNNNNNNNNNNNNNNNNNNNNNNNNNNNNNNNNNNNNNNNNNNNNNNNNNNNNNUCCAUCACGUCAUUCUCCUAAUGAUGUGAUCAUGUUAUCAAAUGACAACAUAUGUCCAUGGUUAGGAAACCUUAACCAUCUUUGAUCAAUGAGCUAGUCAAGUAGAGGCCUACUAGGGACACGGUGUUUUGUCUAUGUAUUCACACAUGUAUCAAGUUUCUGAUUAAUACAAUUCUAGCAUGAAUAAUAAUCAUUUAUCAUGAAUAAGGAAAUAUAAAAUAACAACUUUAUUAUUGCCUCUAGGGCAUAUUUCCUUCAGGAGGAAGGAGGAGGAGCCGACUUGGGGAGGGUAUCCCCUUGGCCAAGGUAGAUGAGUCCCUCUCCAACUCCAAUUCAGCCCCCAAGCUUGUCCUACAACCUUGUUGGGUCCAUACAGCCCAUUAACAUUCCCCUAUGAGGCCUUUAGCAAAUUAUAUUGGCACAUAGCCCCUAAAUAAAUACUAGGGGGCUCCAGGUAAUUACGGGGGCCUUCCAAUUUUUGGUAUGCACUCAUUCAAUAUUCGCCUCCAUCCAUCAAUUUGGACGUGUCCAUCUGGUAAAGCUACAGUCGAGUUUGUGCCUUUGAAAUUGGUCUUCUCAUGGCAAAUAAUUGUCAUCUCACCUUGUACAUCCAUCACCACAAGCAUAACACAUAUUGGCAGCUUCUGUUCAAGAACAUAAUAGUAACAUAGUAAGCACUGUACUUUAUUCAAGAAGAAUAUAUGAAAAAUAUGGACUAGUGGCACAAUAUUGAAAAAUCUUACCAUGCAUUUUCUAUGAAUGUUGGUACUGCUCAAGGUGUGGACUAGUGGAACCUAUCGUGUAUCAUUACGACCAGCUCUGUAAGUGCCCUUAAGCGACUGAACAUCAUUAACAAAGGAGACAAGGUAAUUCUUCUCCUUCCAGAUAAUAACAGUAUCACAAAGAGGUUAGGGGUGAAUAACUAGUAUUUUAAAUAAUUAAGAUAGAUUAUUUGAAAAAAUUGUUUAAGAAACUCACACAGAGGAAGAAUUGGAAUCAUGUCAAAAUCCACUCAAAUGUCUUGAUCAUUUCAAGGAAAGCUGCCAAUAUCAAAGGUUAUAUUCAUACCAGGCUUAAAUCCGUGGCCAAUCCUCUCCAAUUAGGACAAAAGUAUGUGUGGUCUACGUGAUUCUAGAUUGUAGCUUGGAAAAUGAACCAUGUUUGCUUUUGAGGUAGCAGUCCUCUCAGCCACCUCAUCCAUCAAGUCUCCUAAAUGGAGCUUACCAAGGACAAAAGGCUUGCAUAAGAGGGGAUGCACUAGUUGAAUUAUAAAAACAGAAAUUACAUGUUAAUGUAAGCCUUAAGGCAUGCUUAAUUAAGAAGGAAAUAUGUGCAAAAAUUAUUAAAACAAAUUACCAUAUAAUAUUUGUAGCCCUCUUUAAGCGUGAAUUCCGUAGGCCUGGGAUGGUUUCUCCUGCUGAAUCAAACCGGUCUGAGAAGUUUCACUUCGCGGUCACACGCUCAGUGUAAUUAUCGACAACUCCCACUUCUCAGUUUUCGUGGAGCCGGAGGUUUCCAACUCCAUGACUCCACGAAAUUUGCACGCACAGAAUCCCCAGCAUCUCCUCCAUAAAGCCAGGAGUUGGAGAGGUCGAGUGAGAUCUGGAUCAGGAAUUGAUGGAGUUGAGAGUUGGAGGGCUCCCGAACAGGCCGGUAGCAUGACAUUUUUUGUGAAUUAGACCAUGGCAUUUUCAUCUUAUGUAGCAUGCCAUUUUUUUAUUAAUUUAGACCAUAGCAUUUUUACCACAUAUAUCAUGGCAUUUUUAAUAAUUAGACCAGGGCAUUAUCUUAUGUAGCAUGGCAUUUCUAUUAUUCAUACCAUGGCAUUUUUAUUAUAAUUAGACCAUUGUUCAAGAAAUCAUCUGAUUCAGCGAUUUAUCGUUCGAUUUAUCGCUUCUCGGGGGGUGACCGAUAAGAUUAUGCCUUAUCUUCAUCGUUUAUCGUUUGGGCCGAUUUGUCGCUCUGAGAAGCGAUGUAUCAGGAAUCUACCGAGAAAUCGUUCCUAUUCCUAGCACUAUGGUUAUCUUAAAGAGCAUGGCACCUUUUUGUAGAGCAUGGCAUUUGUUUCAUAGAGCAUGGUACUUCUAUUUUAAAAGUAUGGUAUUUUUUUNNNNNNNNNNNNNNNNNNNNNNNNNNNNNNNNNNNNNNNNNNNNNNNNNNNNNNNNNNNNNNNNNNNNNNNNNNNNNNNNNNNNNNNNNNNNNNNNNNNNGCGCUGGCCCCACAGUGGGCGCCAACUGUCAUGGAAUUGUCACGUCAGAUGUCCUCGUGAAAGGACUUAGUUGUGGAGCCAUCGCAACUAGGAAGCUUGAAGGGGUUAAUCGAGACAAGGGACACGAGAGGUUUUAUACUAGUUCGGCCCCUUACGGUGAAGGUAAGGCCUACGUCUAGUUGGGUUGGUAUUGAUGUUUCGAUGACCACGGAGCGAGAUACGCUAUGCCCGGCUCUCGAUGAGUUGAUUCUUCCCUCAGCCGCCAGCAGGUCGUCCCCUUAUAUACACGGGUUGACGCCCUACGGCUUACAGAGUCCCGGCCGGCUUAUAAACAGUGUCCAACUCGGUGACUAGUUAAGUCUACCUUAUGAUACAAGUCAUAUUAUUAUGGCGGUUUAUUACAACGGGCCUUAAGUCGCCUGUGGGCCUUAAGCCCUCUAUGAACCGCCAUGUUCAUGCUUUGGUCUUGGGCUUCUUUCUGGUAAGUCUUCUUUGCGUAACCCGGCCCCUCCUGGGCGGCUUACACAAAUAGUUAUAUCCCCAACAUAAACCCCAAAAAACCUUUUGUUCCUUCAGCUCUUUUCUAAAGAAAUUAUUAUGCUCAAAUUGCAAAUUCAUAAAGCUUCUAAUAUUUGAUUCAAUCUCUUCCAGCCUUCUGAGAAGGUGGUCAGAACCCUUAGGCGAAACCAUAAGGUCAAACAAGCACACAAGCAAACAAAAAAGGCAAGCGGAAAGAGAGGAGGAGAUUGGGAAAGAGAGGGCGAAUAAAACGGCAAAGGUGAAGUGGGGGAGAGGAAAACGAUAGCAAAUGGAAAAUAAUAUAAAUGCGAGGGAGAUGAGUUUGUGAUGGGUACUUGGUAUGUCUUGACUUGAAUGAAGACCUCCCCGGCAACGGCGCCAGAAAUCCUUCUUGCUACGUCUUGAGCUUGCGUUGGUUUUCCUUGAAGAGGAAAGCGUGAUGCAGCAGAGUAGCAUAAGUAUUUCCCUCAGUUUUUGAGAACCAAGGUAUCAAUCCAGUAGGAGGAUCCUCAAAAGUCCCGCGCACCUACACAAACAAACAAAGAACUCGCAACCAACGCAAUAAAGGGGUUGUCAAUCCCUUCACGGCCACUUGCGAAAGUGAGAUCUAAUAGAGAUAGUAUGAUAAGAUAAAUAUAUUUUGGUAUUUUAUAAUAUAGAUGCAAAAAGUAAAGAUGCAAAUAAAAGUAGAUUGAAAGCAAAUAUGAUAAGAGAUAGACCCGGGGGCCAUAGGUUUCACUAGAGGCUUCUCUCGAGAUAGCAUAAGUAUUACGGUGGGUGAACAAAUUACUGUCGAGCAAUUGAUAGAAAAGCGAAUAAUUAUGAGAUUAUCUAGGCAUGAUCAUGUAUAUAGGCAUCACGUCCGCAACAAGUAGACCAACUCCUGCCUGCAUCUACUACUACUUCUCCACACAUAGACCGACUCCUGCCUGCAUCUAGAGUAUUAAGUUCAUAAGAACAGAGUAACGCCUUAAGCAAGAUGACAUGAUGUAGAGGGAUAAACUCAUGCAAUAUGAUAUAAACCCCAUCUUUUUAUCCUUGAUGGCAACAAUACAAUACGUGCCUUGCAACCCUUUCUGUCACUGGGUAAGGACACCGCAAGAUUGAACCCAAAGCUAAGCACUUCUCCCAUGGCAAGAAAGAUCAAUCUAGUAGGCCAAACCAAACUGAUAAUUNNNNNNNNNNNNNNNNNNNNNNNNNNNNNNNNNNNNNNNNNNNNNNNNNNNNNNNNNNNNNNNNNNNNNNNNNNNNNNNNNNNNNNNNNNNNNNNNNNNNUAAAUGCUUAGUUUGAACUAGUUGAAUUAAUAUAACUAGUUUAUUUUUAGUAAAUAUUUAGUUGAACUAGUUGAAUUAAUAUAUAGAACUAGUUUAUUUUUAGUAAAUACUUAGUUGAACUAAUUGAAUUAAUAUAACUAGUUUAUUUUUAGUAAAUUCUUAGUUGAAUUAAUAGAAGUAGUUGAAUUAAUUGAAUUAGUAAGUGUUUAAUGUUUGGCCUAAUAUGAACAUAGGAAAAUGUCGUCUGACGACGGAAAAAAUUUCAUUAUGUGCGAAUUCUGUGAAGACCAGCGCGGCCAGUGCGACAGAAAUUUCCUUGUUGAUGGUAGGCGAUUCAGCAUCAAGCUGGAUGAGACUUUCGAAUUUGAUACAGUAAGUCACAACGACAAGUCUGUUUUCGUAAUUAAGCAUGACUUAUGUAUGCUUCAUUUGCCCGACUUAUAAUUUUUAAUUUUCACUAUUCUAUUAGCGCAUCCCCUGCCAUGCAAGAAUUUUUGUCUUGGAUAAGAUAGGUUUCAAAGAUAUGGAAACUAUGGAGGUAAAGAGAGCUUACCUGAAAACUAAGCAUGAUGGUUAUACUUUCAACGUCAAAGUAUACAAUACACACACGUACACCUAUUUUGAAUGCAAAACUUGGCAAGCACUAUGCAAGGCUUAUGCAUUUGAGCCUGGUAUGGUUAUCACCUUUGAUAUUCGUCCGGAAGAUGAUAUUGAAGGUAAUAGAGACAUAUGGGUCGAUGUGCAGACGCCUCCAGUUCUACCAUUAUGUGAGUUCUUCUCAACUAUAUUUUUGUCUUUCAUAUUGCUUAUUCAAAAAUAACUGACAACUAAUUUCUAUUGACAGCUUAUCUCCAUUCAACCAAACAUGUCCAGCGCUUGGUAGACAGGACCUACUACUAUCCCGGAGCUGAAGUAAACUGCAAGGAGAUAAGUCUUUAUGUUUCAUCGCUUGAGGAUCUUCAUACUGUUAAGACAAAUUUUCUUCCUGCACUUAGAAAUGUUAGUACUCAAAACGUGCGAUCAAUAGUGAUGGUAUUGAACUACGGUCACAUCUAUUUAGGAAUGAUGGUAAGAUAUUUACUAUUUGUCCUCAGUGCAUAUUUUGCAUACAUAAUUUUUUUGCUAAACUUUCAUUGCUAAGUAUAUUAAUUAAGUACUAUACGAUGUUCUUCAACAGGGACUCCCGAUGACAGUUGUGCCUCAGGGGAUCGAGACUAAAGGUCAGAUGUCCAUUGUUAGCUUACGGCCAAGAUAUCCUGCAUUGCACAUGAAUGCAUUCAGGAUUUCUUGAAGCGAUGAAUGCUUAAUACUGAAAGAUUGGAGGAGAAUUGUUAAUGAUUGCAGAGAAGUACUAGGGGGCAGCAAUGAGAAGCGCAGCCCAUGAUUAGGAGAUAGGUUCAUCUGCAUGCUCCAGUAUGAUCAAUCAGGAGAGCUAUACAUGUUCUAUACUAUUUUACCAGAGAGAGAGUAGCUAGCAGGAGUGAUUUAGCUAGUUCCUCAUGCUGCUCUUAAUUAGUACUUGUCCUUUCAUGUCCGUGUUCUUCGUUCUGAACUUAUGUGAUUUGCUUUUGUGGUGUUAUAUAUGAAUGCUUCUUCUUUAAGUGAAUGUUUCUGGUACAAUCAUGCAUGUUGAACUCGAUGAUAUUUUGCUUCUGGUACAAGUGAAUGUUUCUUCUUUAAGCUAGUGCUGGUGAUGAUAUUUUUCCUACGUUACCUAAGUGAUCAAGUAUAUGCCAUAUCCGUAUAUAUUAUAGGUUGAUCAAGUAUAAUAUGGAUAUGGCAUAUACUUGAUCUCACUUAAUGCAUCCAGUCCAAAACUAAUCCGCGGUACUUUCACCUAAUGAUUUAACAACUCAUUAUAAUGUAAAACAAUCACUAAAUUAAAUUGAAAACACAAAAUUAAAGAAAAAAUAAAAAAACACCCAAACAUUUAGUACCGGUUGGUGUUACCAACCGGUACUAAAUCCCUACACGCAAACGGGCCUGGCUCGUGCCACGUGGUGGCACUUUAGCGCCGGUUCAUGACGAACCGGUACUAAAGGGAGGGGACCUUUAGUCCCCACUCUUUAGUGCCGGUUGGCGAACCGGCACUAAAGCCCGUCACGAACCGGCACUAAAGGUCGGUUCUGUACUAGUGGCACUACAGCCUUUCUGAUAAGUAUAUGUGAGUGACAUACUGUUGAUCGGAAAUAAUGUAGAAUUAUUCUGCAAAGCAUAAAGGAGUAUUUGAAAGGAGUUUUUCAAAGAAGGACCUCGGUGAAGCUGCUUACAUAUUGAGCAUCAAGAUCUAUAGAGAUAGAUCAAGACGCUUGAUAAAGUUUUUUCAAUAAGUACAUACCUUGACAAAAAAAUUCAAGUAGUUCAAAAUGGAACAGUCAAAGAAAGAGUUUUUUGCCUGUGUUACAAGGUGUGAAAUUGAGUAAGACUCAAAGCCCGACCACAGCAGAAGAUAGAAAGAGAAUGAAAGUCAUUCCCUAUGCCUCAGCCAUAUGUUCUAUAAAGUAUGACACGCUAUGUACCAGAUCUAUUGCAUACCCUACCAUUGAGUUUGGUAAGGGAGUACAAUAGUGAUCUAGGAGUAGAUCACUAGACAGCGGUCAAAAUUAUCCUUAGUGGAAUAAGGAUAUGUUUCUCGAUUAUGGAAGUGACAAAAAGGUUCGUCGUAAAGGGUUACGUCGAUGCAAGUUUUGACACUAAUCUAGAUGACUCUAAGUCUCGGUCUAGAUACAUAUUGAAAAUGGGAGCAAUUAGCUAGAGUAGCUCCGUGCGGAGCAUUGUAGACAUAGAAAUUUGCAAAAUACUUACGGAUCUGAAUGUGACAGACCCGUUGACUAAAAUUAUCUCACAAUCACACCUUAGUACUCUUUGGGCGUUAAUCACAUAGCGAUGUGAACUAGAUUACUGACUCUAGUAAACCCUUUGGGUGUUGGUCACAUGUUGAUGUGAACUAUGGGUGUUAACAACAUAAAUAUGUGAACUGUUGAUGUUAAAUCACAUGGCAAUGUGAACUAGAUUAUUGACUCUAGUGCAAGUGGGAGACUGAAGGAAAUAUGCCCUAGAGGCAAUAAUAAAGUUAUUAUUUAUUUCCUUAUAUCAUGAUAAAUGUUUAUUAUUGAUGCUAGAAUUGUAUUAACCGGAAACAUAAUACAUGUGUGAAUACAUAGACAAACAGAGUGUCACUAGUAUGCCUCUACUUGACUAGCUCGUUGAUCAAAGAUGGUUAUGUUUCCUAGCCAUUGACAUGGGUUGUCAUUUGAUUAACGGGAUCACAACAUUAGGAGAAUGAUGUGAUUGACAUGACCCAUUCCGCUAGCUUAGCACCCGGUCAUUUAGUAUGUUGCUAUUGCUUUCUUCAUGACUUAUACAUGUUCCUAUGACUAUGAGAUUAUGCAACUCCCGUUUACCGGAGGAACACUUUGUGUGCUACCAAACGUCACAACGUAACUGGGUGAUUAUAAAGGUGCUCUACAGGUGUCUCUGAAGGUACAUGUUGGGUUGGCGUAUUUCGAGAUUAGGAUUUGUCACUCCGAUUGUCGGAGAGGUAUCUCUGGGCCCUCUCGGUAACACACAUCACUUAAGCCUUGCAAGCAUUGCAACUAAUGAGUUAGUUGCGGGAUGCUGUAUUACGGAACGAGUAAAGAGACUUGCCGGUAACGAGAUUGAACUAGGUAUUGAGAUACCGACGAUCGAAUCUCGGGCAAGUAACAUACCGAUGACAAAGGGAACAACGUAUGUUGUUAUGCGGUCUGACCGAUAAAGAUCUUCGUAGAAUAUGUGGGAGCCAAUAUGAGCAUCUAGGUUCCGCUAUUGGUUAUUGACCGGAGACGUGUCUCGGUCAUGUCUACAUAGUUCUCAAACCCGUAGGGUCCGCACGCUUAACGUUACGAUGACAAUUAUAUUAUGAGUUUAUAUGUUUUGAUGUACCGAAGGUUGUUCAGUGUCCCGGAUGUGAUCACGGACAUGACGAGGAGUCUCGAAUUGGUCGAGACAUGAAGAUUGAUAUAUUGGAAGCCUAUGUUUGGAUAUCGGAAGUGUUCCGGGUGAAAUCGGGAUUUUACCGGAGUACCGGGAGGUUACCGGAACCCCCCGGCAACUUAAUGGGCCUUAGUGGGCCUAGGUGGAAGAGAGGAGAGGCGGCUAGGGCUGGGCCGCCCCCCCCCCCCAGUCCGAAUAGGACAAGGAGAGCGGGGCGGCGCGCCCCCCCUUCCUUCUUCUCCUCCACUCUUUCCCCAUCCCAAGUCCUAAUCCAACUAGGAAAAGGGGGGAGUCCUACUCCCGGUGGGAGUAGGACUCCUCCCGGUGCGCCCUCUCCCUGGCUGGCCGCACCCCCCCGUGCUCCUUUAUAUACGGGGGCAGGGGGGCACCCUAGAGACACAACAAUUGAUCGUUUGAUCUUUUAGCCGUGUGCGGUGCCCCCCUCCACCAUAGUCCACACCUCCAUAAUACUGUAGCGGUGCUUAGGCGAAGCCCUGCGUCGGUAGAACAUCAACAUCGUCACCAUGCCGUCAUGCUGACGAAACUCUCCCUCAAGACUCGGCUGGAUCGGAGUUCGAGGGACGUCAUCGGGCUGAACGUGUGCUGAACUCGGAGGUGCCGUACGUUCGGUACUUGAUGGGUCGGAUCGUGAAGACGUACGACUACAUCAACCGCGUUGUGCUAACGGUUCCGCUUUCGGUCUACGAGGGUACGUGGACAACACUCUCCCAUCUCGUUGCUAUGCAUCACCAUGAUCUUGCGUGUGCGUAGGAAAUUUUUUGAAAUUACUACGUUCCCCAACACGUUGUGCCUGCCAUGGCCGGUCCCAACAUCCUGGAAACCCCCUGGGUGGUGACAUGGCUGUCAGAUAUGUGUUUAAUACGGUUUAGGAGCAACAUCUAGGUUUGCAACUAGGCCACUAUUCCAAUAAUCCCAUCUGAACAACUAGUGUGUUGCAAACCAACGAAGCAUGAGGCAACAACAUCUAUAUCCUGGCAGAGGCGACCGAGAGGCACGUGCCAAUCGACACGUCGUCAUCAUCGUCGGCGAGCAAUCUCUCUGUCACCAUGCCUCCCCCACUCAUCAGACCGGCUGCGUGCCUCUUUCUUUGUCACCCUCUCCUCAGUCGCCGUCCGCCUCCACCACCAUGGCACCACCGCGGAGCGCUCGGCACGGCUACCGCUGACCUCCUCCACGCCGUCCCCAACCAUCACUGGCCACAUCCCCAGUGUUGCAAAGAUGCGGGUGCGCUGAGCUCGCCGGAUUAAAACGUCACCGAUGUUGUAGAGGCGUGGGCUUGCUAGCUCGCUCAUAGGAUUGCAACAUCACUAGUGUUUCUGAAACAUGGCAUAUGUUGUAGAGGCGCGGGUCUGCGAGCUCACAUGAUUUGUUGCAGCCGCAACAGAGUGUGUGUUUCAGAACAAAAAUAGCGGUUCGGUAGUUUGCAACAAGGCCUUUGUUGCAAAGGAUUAAGCACAACACUUAGCUUGUUGCAAAUUGUUGGGCUUGCGUGAAGGGACAUUGGACGUUUCUUCUAUCUACAUCCAAAUGUUGGGAAGGCGGUCUAUCUAUUUAGAUCAUCACUCAGCCGACGCGUAGCGCUGCCCAUGAAUAAACAAAUGGUCCAUGGCAAUACCACACACGAAUGGUGUGGUAUCCAACCACCCAUCGAUCUAUCACAUACUAAAUCUUUCUUUAAUUGAUGUACUCAAGCACUGAUCACUCACCGGUUUUGGGACUAGUUCUAUAGCCAGAGCUUGUUGCGAUGGCAUGUUGGUCUUUAUGGUGGGAAAGUGGGCACAUUAGUCGUGAUAUUCAGGUGCAAAACAUUGAAAAUUCCGCAAUGGCAAUUCAAGUGUUGUGCUCAAAUUUCAGGUCUGUUGUGGUCCCUGAUCCAAGAGUGAGAAAACAGAUUUGGACUACACCAACAGGUGAUUGCGUUAAGAUAAACAUUGAUGCUUCAUUUGAUCUACUCCCUCCGUUUGGAAUUACUUGUCACCAAAAUGGAUGUAUCUAGAACUAAAAUACAUCUAAAUACAUUCAUUUCAAUGACGAGUAUUUCCGAACGGAGGGAGUAGAUUAUUUGAGGGGAACUACAGGUGAUGUUAUUAAAGAUAAAAAAAGGGAAGUUUAUCACCGCAAGUAAUGUACAGUUGGAUUUGGUUCAAGAUGUUUUUCCGGCUGAGGUUUUGGCUCUCAAGAAUGGAUUGCUCUUAGAGGAAUCCAUGGGUUGUAAUAGAGUUAUUGUGAGCUCUGACAGUAUAGAAUUAAUAGAAGUUAUGAAGAAUGAGAGGCCACGGAUAUUGCUGCAGCAAUCUUUCAUGAUUGUUUUUCCAUGGAGCAUGAAUUUGUUAAGGUUAAGUAUGAGCAUGCCAUUAGGGGAAACAAGUUCCAAGUAUGUAGGGUCUGGCUUGAUGAUCGUCACUCCCUAUUGUACCUGUCAUGGUGAACGACGUAACAUUAUUAUCUAAUGAAUAAAAAUGUUAUUUUGAGGUUAAAAAUCCUGCUUUAAUUCCUCCACCUUGAGAGUACUAUCUAGGCACUUUCUUGGUGCCCCACGUCAAGUCGUCGGCACAAUGCUACACAGGAAAUACAGAACAGAGAUAAGGCGGCUAACCAGGCACCAGCAACCCCUGUCACAACUCACAAGCCUCUAACUGUCAUUUCAUCUCUUUCUUAUUUGAUAAAAGGGGCAUCGCUCUGAAAUCCAUUUCUGAAAUUGAUAAAACAAACAAGCCGAAUGUAUGAUCCUGGGCAACAUCUAGGCCAGGGUUUGGCUGCGGCACAACCUGUUGGCUGCCCCACAACUGAACUACAACAACCAAACUACCAAAAGAAAAACAGAAAGAGCCAUGGAAACAAAAUAAAGAAAAUAGAAACUCCUCUCACUGUGGUUGCCACAAAAGCUUCUUAAACUGAACUGAACUACAACAACCAAACUACAAACAGACAGUAAACCAGCCAACACCACCCUCAUCUCAUUUUUCUAAAUCAUGCAGGAGGGGAGAACAGAAGAACAGUAGAAACAGUCGGGAAAAGAAAAGAAUGAAAAUAGAAACCUCUCACUGUCAUUGCGAACAAAGCUUCCUAAACUGAAGAUAGCCAUGCUGGCACCCUGAUCUCGCAAACGCUGACCACAGCUGUUGAUUGAUUUCCAGUAGCCAGCCACACGAUCGAUGUUACAUACAAACAGGAAGAACAACAUAGCAAUGAGCCAUAAGCACUGGGCAGUGAGUCCACUCCACUGUAGAUUAAAUCAUGUCCUCUUGCAGGCAAGGCGAUCUCAUCUGCGCGGAGUCAACGCAGCUGAAAUCACAACCGCCCGGAGUUCUGAGGAUGAGAAUGUUCAUCUGACUGACUAUGGCUCCAUCAAUUGACUCUCUGCAAGCAAGACAAGAAUUAAUCAGCCGAUACAGAAGGACUUUCAGCUCAGAUUUUGCAGAUUCAAUAGUUUAUGUAUGAGCAAAAUGGAAAAAAUUAUAGGGCGCAUAGUAUACACACAGGAAGAACUAUACAUGCAGAAGUAGAACAGCAUUGGUGUACCACCGACAAUAUUGUUUCUCAACUGAAUUUGGAACAGAUUAUAGGGGGAAUAGUAUACACAGAGGAAGAAAAACACAUGCAGAAGUAGAACAUCAUUGGUGUGCCACCGACAAUAUUGUUUCUGAACUGAAUUUGGAACAGAUUAUAGGGUUUAUAGUAUUGAACAGGCAGAACCAGAACAGCAUUGGUGUACCACCGGUAAUAUUGUUUCUCAACUGAAUUUGAAGUAUGCAACUACUAACUGCAAACGCUCAUUUAUCCCACUGGCAAUGUUGCUCUGAACUGAAUUUGAUAUGUGUAACUAACUGCAAACAUCACUUUUACAGGGAGCUACAGCAUAUAGUAUUACAGGCAGAAGCAGAAUAGCAUUCUUGUCCCACUGGCAAUAUUGUUCCUAGCUGAAUUUGACACAUGUAACUAACGGCAAACACUCACUUUUAUCUGUUUAGUGCCGUAACUUGAAACACAAGCUGUAAUAAUAUUCAGGCAGAUGCAAGUAAACAUAAAUAAAUGAGCUGAACAAACUUCAAUCUUAGUUUUUAGUGUCCAAAGAGAAAACUUCAAACUUACGUCACCCAAGGAAAACUAAUUAAGGGGGUCUUGGCAGCCACAAUCAACAAAAAUGUGUGCCUUCUACUGUCCUAGAGAGAUUAGAGCAGAGCAAGUUCACGGUUGGCCGCAGCAGAGCUCCCCAAUGGUCGAUUUGGAACAGUCCUGUCCAUCAAGCGUCUUGCGGCCUGAACAUGCACGAGGAAGCAGGGGGGGCACCGCCACCACUCGACUCCACUCACCAAGACUGCCACCAUGCCCACCGUCGACGACAAGCCGGAUAGCCCGGAAGAACCACCGUCUUCAGCUGCCCGCGGCCAUGAGAAUUAACAAAAUUGUCCCUUUUCUUGAAGUCCAGCAAAACACAAACCACCUCCAAAAGACCAAAACAUUAACCAAAACUAACCCUUUUCCCCGUGUUGACCUCGGCUAUGUCAGCACCACAUAUCUCAGUGUUGGAAAAUACUUAGCGUCAAGAUUCCAAUGUCAACGCCACAAACUAUGGCGAGCUAUUAGAGGUCAAUGGCACAGUCCAUGGCACUGACCCCAUGAGGGUCGCAAAAAUGAUGGAGCAAUGUUGAGAGAGGGUCAACUCCAUGGACUAUGCCGUUGAGCUCUAAAAGCUCCAUGCCACGGACCACGGCGUUGUUCCCGUGACACCCAUUUCGAUCGUGAAACACUAAUUUUUCUCCAACGCCGAGAUACAUGGCACUGACAUAGCCACACAGGCAGGUUCAAUGCCCGAGAGAUUGACAUUAACAAAAAUGAUUAGAUUAGGUAUAAGUUUGAGAGGUGGGUCAUUUUUCGCUAAACUUUGAAAAGAGUGUUCAUUUUGUCAUUUCUCACCCUACGGCCAGCGUCGCUGCCGCGCCGCCUCACCCUGCCCCAACCGCCGCUGCCCCAGCCAUCCCUCUAAGUCCUUCCGGGGUGUGUGUCUGUAUGUGUUUGUGUGAAUCGCAGGUGGCGGCAUCGCCUCCCUACCAACCUCCACGUCUUUUUCUUGCCCACGCCUCCCUGCCACCCAUGUCAUCGUCGCCACCCCGGCAUCCUCCGACAACUCAACACCGACGCCAUAAACACGAGGCCGCCUCCCCACCAAGCCACGAGCCUCCACCUCGACCCGGGUAAAGAAACGGCCGAGGCAACCACAGGAGAGCAACCAGCCCGCAGCAGGGGGGCCUAGUCAAACCCCAACACUGGCGGCCAGCCCGCGCCAUCGGCCCAUUGCCAACUAGCACUACCUCAAGGGGGGGGGGGAUUGCCCCGUCAGAUCUGGCAACUAGGAUCCAGGGGGACCCCAUGGCAUCCGGCACCUUCGGCCGCCAAUCACCCACCUUCGUCGGCUCCCCGCGGUUGAAGACUGUCACCGCCACCCUGCAUCGCCGGGCAGCGCCCCCACCACUGCGCCGCAUCCACCCCGCCCAGAAGCAUGGAGGAGGCGUCCCGCAGCCCGUGCCACCCGACAGCCGCCCAGAACGCCCAACAAGCCUCCCAAGGCAGUCUCCGGUCCGCACCGCAGCCGCCACCACCACGUCAUUGUUACCUUCAUUAAGUCGCCCGGAGGCCCCAGCCAACCGCAGCCCAAGCCAACUAGAGCCCUCGACACCGAGGCGCAGCAAGAUCUACCACCAAAUGCAGCCGGCCGCCACCCCCAGUCUGCACCACCGCCGCCGCCACCACGCCUCCCCUACCCCAGCAAGCAACAGGGAGGAGACGGGCGUGGGCCUUGCUGUCCGCAGCCCUGGCCAGCCGGCGCCAGAUCUGGCCGCGGGGACCCCCGCGCCACCGUGCAUCGACCAAGACCCGGAACGCCACCACCCGCCGCCAGGCACAGGAACAGCCGCUCCGCACGCCCACCAUCACGCCAUCGAGCCCCACAGCAGCCCAACGCCCCCGUCCGCCGUUCGACCCACGUUCUGCGCCGUAAGUGCCGAGGGGGGAGAGCGCCCCGCCACAACCUACGCCGGCCGGGCGCGCCUUGUGGCGGGGGAGGGAGGCCGGGAGGGGAGGGUCGAGCCGGGGUCACUAGGGUUUGCCCCCGAAGUCGCUCACGGGAGCGGCUUGGGGGGAGGAGCUUUUUUCGAGUAACUAUCUGCUGGUUUUGCAUGUGAGAUGGUAAAACUGGUAUGUUGUGCAUGGUGUCACAACAUACCAGUUUUACCAUCUCAGUGAAUCAUUAUUCUGCAAAAUUUCACGAGACAUGUAUUAUUAUAUUCCAUAGUUCAAGAGGUUAUUAGUGCAAAUAUAUACAUGAAUUACAUUCUUACAGACUUCUUUGCUUACAUCAGCGAGCAAGCUUUGUCCAAAUAGACCUGAUCAUGAAGAGAGAAGAAAGCAAGGACAAGACAUCAAAUCAGAAAAAAAGUUAAACGAGCUCAGUUAUAAAAAAUAACUUGAGAUUACAUAUUAGAAUAUAACUUAAGAAAAUUCAUUGUGGAUCGCCAUAUAAAUGCUAGGGAUCAUACCAUCAAUAAAAUAAAAUAAUGGUGAGAAAACAAUAUUAUGGGCAGAAAAUAACAAUAUUUAUGGGGAUACUGAAGCAGUUUACAUAAUUGUACUUGUAUACAGGGUAAGCCUGGACAGAAGGGAAGUCACAAGUAAAAAUUAUGUAUGUGUAUCGAUAUAGCAAUCAUUCACUCCAAAAUUAAAGUUACACAACAUGGUACAAUUUCAGGACAUUUUUGGGAGGUCAGAUAAAUCUGUAUUCCCAUUAAUUUAUCAAUAGGAGUAGCCUCCAGCAACAUUCUAAAGGCAUGCAAAAGGAGAAAGCCCAAAGAUAAGCUUGGGGCACAGCAAAAGCUUAAAAUCUGAAAACCAUCAGGUUAAUCAGCAGACAACACAAGCUAAUUAGCACGUAAGUAGCAGCUUCUCAACCUCUUGGAUGAUCAAAACUUUAAUCCCAACAAAUACACGAGCUUCCAAAGCCUGCUCCCUCUCCACUAUUCUGCAAUUGGGAACAAAAACAAAUCUGUAGCAAAGUAGGGAACAUGAAAACUGAUUAGGAAGAUAAAAGAUUCCUAUUCAAAACAAGCAGUGUUUCUUCUUUCCAAAAUUGACCACCAUAUUAGGUUGCCGCCAUAAAAUAAAUAGGUGAUCAACUUUAUCCUUUGUAGUACAAAAACAACAUUGUAUGCGCAACUUGUGUAUAUAGAUACCACAUAACCAAUUCACACCAAUAUAGAUUUCUAGGAGGAUCUCACGUGGCCAUUCUGUAAAAUAAGACUAAAUACAUAAAGAAACAUUAAACACCCCUUGAGCAGUACUAAGCAUAGCUUAUGCCAAGAAUCAUUCAAGUUGACCAAAUACUUGACUAUGACUGAAUCCAAGACUUUAAAUUCUAAUUAUGUACUUCUAAUGAGAAGUCCAAGAAAUCUGCUUCCACAAUACCAGGCACAGACAAUUACAUUAUAACUGGAAAUUAUACUAAAUAAUGACAAGCACAAAGACUAGUCUCCCAUCCAGGGGUCAACAAAAUAUAUAAUCUAAGCAAUUGUGCACCGUAAAAACAAGAAUGGUAAAAUAAAGGAGAAGGUCUGGCAGUACACUUGAAGUAAUUACCUGUCCAGAGGCCAUCGGAAAUUAUCAGUUGAAGAAUUCCCGAAGUAAGAAAUGGGAGUAUCAGCCUCCAAGAUCUGCCAAAAUAAAUUGACCACAACCAGUAUGAACAUCACCUGCACAAAAUUUGGGAUUGAGAGGAUAUCAGGAUAAUGUAAUUGUUUGGUGUAAGAAGGAAUUGUACAUGAACGGGAAAGACAUAUAGGGGAACCUAGCCGAACACCAUGCUAAUGGAUGUUAUGUUGCCGGAGUGGAAAGAAUUAGUGAAGAGUGGUAGGGGCAUAAAUACACGUACCUGUAACGAGUCAACGGAAGGAUGGGCACAUCACCUGCCAUGAAUGCCUGCAGAGAAACUGAAGGAUGAUGGCUUCAAAUCCCAGCGGGGCAGUUGUGCUCAGCCAAACAGCCAUGGUGUCAGCCCACAUCUCCCGCGCAGACUCUCCUUGCCCUAAACCGUGGGACCGAUCGAUACAUCACCUCCUCUCUCUAGCAGAGACUGUCAGCGCAAGCUCGCUCCCCACUCUCUCUCUCUCUCCCUCCCUCCCUCCCUCCCUCCCUCUCUCUCUAGUUUACCAUAGGUUCCUCUGGAAAAGCAGCCCUCUAGGGCUUUUUGGCACAGGAAUCAGAAUGUAUGGUGAAAGCCGGAGUAGACAACAAACAACAUUCAAGGUUGCCCAAGUCACGAAAAUGGAUGUGCAGAAACGCGCAGGGCGUUAGAUGGUUGGAAAGCUGCUCAGUUUUACUGUCCUAAAAUGUGGCUAAAUUUCCGGAUAUCAGAAACAUAGCUCGUCACGACAUAGUUCAUUGACCGCGAACGAAGGCCUAUAUUUUGUUCGUUAUUGUGUGAAUCACUGAAUCAAAAAUGACCUGAGCGGGUUGUGAUAACUCAGGUUGCCAAUUUCGCUGCUUGUUUAACAGAUGAAAAUCGCAUCUUCUAACAUUUUCCUAGAGUGUUUAUAAAAGCAACUGUUGAAAAAGCACAGUUCAACAACCACAGACCAGAGAAUUUCUUGAACAGACUAAGCAAAUCUAUACCAAUAUAAGAAAACAUGAGUUAGGAUGAGGUUCAUUUGAUCUAAGCUCACCAAAAAAUAUAUUUAAAUUUUAUAACCAUCAAUCCCAUGGUUGUGGGCAAAUAUUAUACCAUCUCCUAAUCAUAGUAUAUGUAUAGUUUGUUAAUUCAACUUAUUUAUUCAUAGUUACUUUCUGAUUUUAUUUUAUUGACAUGGAAAUUUAUUUCUCCUCUUUACAAUUUUCUACUACAUGACAUUUAUGUAAAAGAAGCCCGUGUCAUUACUAUCGAGACGGACAUGCUAUUUCAAGCUUAUAAACAAAUUUUCAGUCUUAACACUGGAUUCUACACCGAUAUACAUGGCUUUAAAGUAUCUGUUUGGCUAAAAAAACUGACGAGUAUACAACUGCAUCUGACCAUCGGAGUGCUACACCGAUAAAUAGGAAGGCUAACUUCUGUCCCAAUGCUCUUUUUUGUGACGAAAAUCUAAUAACAGCGCUUUUUAAACUAUAUGAUUUCAUCGGCAUGGACAGGAUGAACCCGCAUCAGAAAAUCCCGGUGCAUCUUUUUCAUCCUCGUUCACCUCUUUGGCUCUCCCUUCACCACCGUUUCCUUCUAUUCUCUUGAGCUCAACUCCCACCUACAUGCUAAGAGUCACCACCACGAUGUAGGCUUCUAGGAUCUCCUUCCUACUCCUAGUAGUCGCCACCAGGAUGCGUCAGAAUUCAAGUGCAUGGAUCCCUAACUCCGGCAAAGGAACAUUCAUAUAAAAGUUUGAAUCAUCAUUUUUGUCAAGGGAUGUAAUAUAUUUUUGUAUUGUUAUUAUUUUUGCUAGACACAACCUCAGCCUAAGGUUGACAAAGGGAUAGAAAUAGAAAUACGUUCUCUCAAAAGGACAAUAUAGGGAUCUCACAAUUUCAAUAGAUGUUCCAACACCUUCUGCACGCCAGAAUUCUCCGCAUCCUUUACCCUUGACAUGUUAUCACUUAAAGUUACCCAAAUACCACCUUGGGUUUCUACCUGAACGGAGUAAACAAAUGUCCUAUCAUGUGCCGGGCCUUCUUCCUUCUCUAACCCGAAAAAAAGAAAACAAUGAAGCAACUGUGUAGGGCUGAUCUAGGCAAAAUGCCAAGUUAGAUAAUGCAACGAGUGGCAAGCAUUCAAAUCCCCAAUGUGUCACUAAACUUUGCUGGUCAUCUCAACUUAAAACCAUCAGUUAAAUUAAAAUAAUUCUCAAUCCACCACCCAAACAUAAUGGCAUUACAUGGCAUUACAAUCCAAAGCUAUACUUUUACUUCCACGUUGCACCUAGUGGUUUCUGAUGAAUUGAAUAUCACGAUGAAAGAUUGAUUGAACCAAUAUUCAUACCUUCUCUCCAUGGACAUAAAGAUCAUCAAACCAUGAUAUGCAUCAAAGACAAAAUAUGUUUGGAUAGAAGCAGUACAUGGAUGAUGACCACUGGUGUGACAGCGGCUGCAACUCAGCCCAGAUCUUAGUGAACAUGCAAGAAACCGGCGCGCCAGAUGCACCCUAUGGGCCAUAGGACGAGGCUGCAGACCGACCCUCCUGGUCAGAUCUAGCAGAGGGCGGCAACUAUAUGCGUGGGCAAGCACCUCCCAGCCCAAAGCACCGACGGACCAAGGUCGGAGGCCAUGACCGCAUCGCCCCCACGCGCCGACGAUGGGGGACAAUAGCUCCACUGCAGAGGCCAACAAACGAGGCCAUGGACUGGCCUUCUUGGACAGAUCCAGCGAUGUGCAUCACCUCCAUGCCUCGGCGGGCAUCUCACGUCCCAGCGCAACAACAGGCCGAGGCGGCAGCGAAGAACGUGUCGCCCGUGCGCGCAAUACUACGGGAGUUGCACGCUACCAUGCCCGAGUGGAACCCCACAGUUCUCGGAGCCACGUAGCUGACAACGCCAUGCGCGGAGGUACAGAGAGGAAGAGCAACGGUAGAGGGAGGGAGUAGCGCCCCGCCGCCGUCGUAAGCCGGCCUAUGGCCGGUGACAGCGGUGUGGGGAGGACACGAAGAGAGUAGCGGUGGCGAUGGGAAAACCUAACCCACAACCCACCCAAGAGGGUGAUGCGAGGUCCUCGCAAGGAAGAUGUGUGAGUGGGUGGGGACAGCGUGAAGUAGGCUAGGAGCGCAAAAACAGAUAUGGGAGCGAGAUAGGAGAUGAAUGUUACAGGAAGUAAGAGAGGAGAAAUGUGGGCAUGGGCUACUAGGAUGGAACACAAAAGCGAUGGAGGGAGUGGGACAAUGCCCGGAGUAACAGCGGUCGGCAGGAAAAAGAAUGGGAUAAAGCAAGGAUACAUGCCCAUCAAUUUUCUAAUUUUCUGAUUGGUUAAGAUAGUAGCUGACUGUAAGGUGGCUCAAUGCAUACAUACAAAUAAUCAUGUCAAGUAGCUGCCGAUUUAAUCAAAAUAACUUUGUGAAACACGGCGAUGGCGGAAACUAACAAAGUGCACAUUUUUUAUAAUUCAAGGUAGUGUUUUAGACGGUUUUGGAGUUCUAGGUUGAAAAGACAUGCUCAAACCAUAGUUUAAGGUUGAAAAGUGUACACUUUUUUCAUUUCAGAAAUGUCGCACUAACUAAGAUGCUAAAAUGUACAAAGAAUGCUGAACUGAUUUUAUGAGUUCCCAAGGACGGUAUAUAUAGUACAACCAUGAUUCAGACAAAAUAAAGAAAUCAUUCUGGUUUGAGUACUAAAUCAACAUGAAAGCUUCCCCAACAGCAUUAGCAUAUAGUUUUUUUAGUUUAUGGAGUAUGGCAUUACUCUUUGCAAUCUGAAGCUUGAAUUCCCAGCAAAUCAGGACUUAAGAGAAACAAAACAAGUUUAAUCUAAAUAGUUACUUUUGGUUUCCACUUUUAUACUUUUUAAACAUAUCUUAUUCAGAAAUUUCCUUUUUUUGAUAGAAAAGAUAUGACUGAACAAAUUUUGAAUUAAGAACUAUNNNNNNNNNNNNNNNNNNNNNNNNNNNNNNNNNNNNNNNNNNNNNNNNNNNNNNNNNNNNNNNNNNNNNNNNNNNNNNNNNNNNNNNNNNNNNNNNNNNNNNNNNNNNNNNNNNNNNNNNNNNNNNNNNNNNNNNNNNNNNNNNNNNNNNNNNNNNNNNNNNNNNNNNNNNNNNNNNNNNNNNNNNNNNNNNNNNNNNNNNNNNNNNNNNNNNNNNNNNNNNNNNNNNNNNNNNNNNNNNNNNNNNNNNNNNNNNNNNNNNNNNNNNNNNNNNNNNNNNNNNNNNNNNNNNNNNNNNNNNNNNNNNNNNNNNNNNNNNNNNNNNNNNNNNNNNNNNNNNNNNNNNNNNNNNNNNNNNNNNNNNNNNNNNNNNNNNNNNNNNNNNNNNAUCUGACUGAUGGUUUGGACAAGUAUGUUCCAGACCUAGUGACAGGUCUGGAACAUACUUGUCCAGACCAUCACUCAGAUCAGGUAUCUCUUUCCCACGAGUUCAUGCAGUAGGGUUUGGCAAUCAAACCAAACUAGUGGUUUCCAUACUGCAUCUGAGUGAUGGUUUCGACAAGUCUGUUCCAGACCUACCGAGGUCAAAGUACUAUUUACCUAGUAAGGUUAUUUAACAGAAAUGACCAAAGGUUACUACCCUAAGAUAAACGGGAACAAAGGUGAAACUACAAUAAAGAAACAAAAUAAAAUGUGCAGCGGUGAAACAGUUCUAAAAAUGUGUAGUGUAGGUGUGGGAAAGAGAUGCCUCAUCUGAGGAGCAUUGCAGGAAAAGUUCAACUAGUGAACAGGAUAUAUAACACUAAAAACUGAUAGUCAGGAAUCUUACUUAAAGAUGGGUUUUGGCCAAUGCUUCCUGCUGCACUGCUCAAUAAGCUUCUGCUUGCAUUCCCUAAGCUCUCCAACCUCAACCUCCGAUCCAUGCCCAACUCCAAUUGUCAACACUUGCUGAUUGCCUCCACCAAGAAGCUUGCUUAAUGCAUCCCGUGUGGCAUUGAGCUUAGCGAUUACCAUCUGCUCUGAGGAGCCCAUCCCAACAAGUGCCCCACCAACAAAUACAUUUACAACCGUUGUUCCACCCUUCUGCCAAGUCUUGAAUUUUAUAUCUUUCCCAUGUUUCUGGCACAGUUCAUGCAACGUAAACACGGGUUGCUCAUCAAUUGUUUCUGCCGUGACAAUGGGCUCAAAGAGGAACCUUGUUACCUACAUAAUACAUAGUGAUAUCAUUAUUCACCACCCAUUAUUCUAGUGAACUACUCUCCGUAAACAAAUAUGUCGUUUUAGAGAGCAGAGGUCCAUUUUUUUGAACUUUCACAAAUAUUAUUGGUAAAGCUAUCUUGGAUUGGUCAUACCAAAAUGAAAUCAUACGAUUCUUCAUAGAAAAUUACAUAGAUUUUUAUCAGCGUAUUAUGACUAGAAUUAGUAGUUAAGUUAUUUUCUGGAAACCUCAGAUCAACAUAUUAGUGAAUGGGAAAUAACAUGAAAGAUGGAUUACAAACCUUCCAGAGCUUCUCAAGAUUAAAGUUGCAAUCCACAUAGACAGCAGCAGCAAUGGCCUCGACUAUAUCAGCAAGCACCUUGGGAGCCUUAAAUACAGUGCCACCAUAGGGCGUAGUGCCAAGGUCAUCCCCUAACUCUUGUUUCACUGACUGGAUAAACUGGCCUACCUGCAUAGAAGUAUAGCCAGUAACAUAUCAAUGGUAGCCAAAAACAGUUCAUCUAAUAUCCACAUCUCCAAGAGAUAACAUCAAUCACUUCACAAUUCAAAUGUAUUAUGCCUUAUGAACCCGAAUGGAGCUGCGGGAGUACUUACCAAUUCCAGUUUCAGCAUUGCUAAAUACAGUACUAAACAUAUUCUUGCAUCACUAAAUCAAAACUAAGAUGUGGCGUGAGCUGCUAUAGAUAGAUGUUUAGCUCUAUGUUUUACCCUCAAAUUAAGCCCAUCAAACAGCUCAAAUGUAUUGCUUCUAACUCAGGGGAGGAGGAUCCGAGGACGCUUAAGCGGCACAUACCAAGAGAUCGAGGCGAGGGCAGUUGCGUCGGAGCAGCGGGUAGAGGUCGUGGCGCACGGCGACGCGCGCCAGCUUCUCGGUGGAGAUGUUGGCGGCCCGGAGCGUGGAGAGCGCGCCGGGGCCGACGGUGGGGUUGGUGAGGUAGAGGAAGUUGGAGAAGGCGAGGCCGAGCGCCGCGUCCCCGAUGAACUGGAGCCUCUGGUAGGAGGCAGCCCCGCCGCUGGAGAAGAACUGGUGGGUGAGCGCCUCCUCGAGCAGGGAGCGCUUGUUGAACUCGUACUGGAGAAGCCGCUCCACAAGGGCGGCCGCCUCCUCCCUGUCCGCCACGAAACCCGGGGGCGGCAGCGUGACGGGGGCCGACGGCGCAGGCGACGAGGCGAGGCGCUUGCGGGAGCCGGGCUUCAUCAUCCCUGGUGUGCCUGUGCGCGUGACCGUGUGGCUAGAUCGGGAGGGGGAGAUGAAAUUUUGGAGAGGAGGCGGCGCCAAAAGAAAAAAAACAGAGGAGCUCACCUUGCUAGACGAGAUGAUGGUGGCGUCGGCAGCUGCUACGAACUGGGAGGAGGGCGGGGGGACGGGGAUCCGGCCGGAGUUUGGCGGCGUCCGGCGGAGUAGAGUGCCGGCCGGGCCUGUUGCUGGUGCUGGAGACCGGGGUGGGGGCGGGGACGGGUCACGCCAACGGGAGGAGCAGCGGAGGAGGAGGGACCCUAGCCGCCCGCCAUGUCGCCGGAGGGAGCCGCGCACAAGGGACCGGCGGCGGCCUGGAGGAAACCUAGCGAGGUUUUCGCGUGAGCGAGCGGGAGGAAAGGGGAUCCAGGGCUGCGGGCGGGACUGGGCUCUUCGCCUUGCGGGUAUACCUGCCAGUGGCAUUUUUGUUGUAAUAUGCUCAAACAAUAGUGUCAUUUCCCUAUACCCCUUCGGGUUUAAGUGAGAAGCUGCGGGAAGCACCCAAGUGAGGUGGAAAUAAGUUGAGCUGACUUUUACAAAGGUGAGUGCUAGGCACCUGCGCACCGGCCCAAAUUUGGGCCGAUCGCAUAAUGCCACCCGCCUGAUUCAUGAAACCCUAGCCGUGUGAUUGCGUCUUCUUUCUCGUGCAUUAUCUCUUCUCCCUCCUUUCCACCCACAUCCAGAAAGAAAAAUGUCUCAUGCCCGCCACUGCACCAGUCGAUCCCCCCUCCCCCAUGUCUACCCUUCCGUGAAGGACCGUUCCUCGCUCGGCUCGCCGUCGACGUCCUCGCAACCCCGCCGUCGCAGUUGAAGCUGCAUCUCGUGGGCGUUUUGCGGCGUUGCUCCGUGGUCGCAGCCCCCCCCCUCCUUCGCCGUCGUUUGGUAGCAGCCUCGCCGUCAACAUGUCGUAGCCUCGCCGUCAUAGCCAUUUGCUGGCUCUAGGUUGAAGCUUUUUCCAUGGUCAAUUGAAGAUUUUUUUUCGUAGCUGCUUACAGCCUUUCCAUGGGGGUUGAAGCUUUUUCCGUCAUGCCUGAUGAAGCAUUUUUCUCCAUCGGUUGUAACUUAUACUAGGCCGGUUGAAGCUUUUCUCCAUGUACGGUUGUACCUCACCCUAGAUACUCAACGUAGCAAAACUAUCUGUUAGUUGUAGCAAAGAGGUGUGGCGGUUCCAGCAAAAAAGAAGCUGACCGGUGCCGUCCACCUAAUUAUAGUGUUUUUUUUUCGAGAGUACGCCAAUGGCGUACCAUAUUUUUAUAAAAGGCAGAAAAGAAUUACAAGAAGCUACAACUUGCUGCAAACAACAAGUGUAGAAACAACACCACAUCCAAGCUAAUCCGAAGAAAAGUUGCCGCACACAUUACAACACAGCACAAAGGAGCUUGUCGGACCAGAGCAUCGAAGCCGCGUCUCGACCAACGCCGGUCACUACGAAGAGCAACAACUUCGACCGGACUUCCCUUGUCGACGCACCAACCACCCUUGAUGCCGAAAAGGAGAUGACAGGUGGGUGGCGGGACUCAGUACGUCCCGAGAAAGCCACCGUCUUGGACUCACCGACAUUGGGGUACAUAGCGCCCAAGAUCCUCUACUCGGACUAGCGGCACGCACCGAAGAACCACAUCACCGAACCUCCAGGCCAACUCUCCUCCCACGAUGCUCCUAACGGAGGAACGACGCCAAGACGCCACCAUCGCCGGUCCAGGACCUAGGCUUUUGCCCGGAGACUACAAACCAAACAAGGAGGGGAGAUGCCGACACACACAGCGAUGCCUCCAAGGAGGGGAACGACGCCCACAGACACCGUCAUCGCCAUCACCGAUCGAAGACGGGCAGGAUUUUCAUCCGUCGCCCACCUCCCACCCCUUGCAAAGAAUGAGGCCAACAUGUCUGUAAUGGGCCACAUCGCCGCCGCAGCAGCACCUCGGCAUCGUGACUAAUGUUGCAGAACACCGACGCCUUGCACAGCCAAGGACACGCACUCCAUGAACCACCUCCCGCACGGCCGAUGAAGAUCCAAUCCAGCAAGGCAGCACCCAACACCAACACGGCCAGAGGCCAACGGAACUGCAGCAGCAACUGCACACGCCCACUCCUGGCGGCAGCCACGCCACGACCGCGUCUCUGGGACCCAUGAACAGAGAGCAUCUCCACCGAGCUCCCCGCAGAGGGCCGCAGGCCCGGGCA
Molecule: long non-coding RNA, 70023 nt
Filed under: Triticum aestivum (bread wheat)
Lineage: Eukaryota; Viridiplantae; Streptophyta; Magnoliopsida; Poales; Poaceae
Description: long non-coding RNA (TAES_LNC018815)
Rfam family: MIR1120/MIR1122 microRNA precursor family (bases 55738-55852)
Source: RNAcentral